CAUAAGACUGCCAAACAGAGAGUUGAUGGAAUUGACAAAGAAAAAUUUACAUACAGCUAUACUGUACUUGAAGCUGAUGGAUUUAACGAUGUAAUCGAGAAAAUCUGUUGUGUCAUCAAAUUUGAACCCUCUGCUGAUGGAGGUUCAAUCUGCAAAACCACUAACACAUACUACCCCAAAGGUGGUGCUCAGAUCGGUGAGGAACACCUCAAGGGAGGAAAAGAGAUGGGUUUGGGAAUGGUUAAGGCUGUUGAGGCUUACCUCCAUGCAAAUCCUACUGCCUACAACUAAUUAUAAUGAAUGCUACUGAAGGACUCUUCGACAUAUUUUCUUCAAGAUUGAAGUACACACUGAGGGUGUGUUUCCUUUUUUGCUUGGUUUGCUUUAAGCUGUUUGGUUAAGUUAAAAACAAAAUUGAAUCAUAGAGAGAACAAAAAAAAUAUAGUGUUUCUUAUGGAGAAAAAAAUGGAGCUGAUGCCUAAAAUCUCACAUGGAUCCAACAAGGAUAUGCUCAAAGUUGGAAAAAUGUGCUAUAAUUAUGAUUACUCCUUUAUGAAAUAAAGCUGAAAGCAGCUCAAUUUCUUUUUGUUUUCCAUAUUAUUCAAUUUCGUUGUCGAUUUUUGAUAGUUGUAUUUUUUUUAUUGCUUUAAUAAGGGCUAUGAUUGGAUAUCCUGUUAUGCCAUUGGCUGUCGAUGCUAAACCUGAUAAAUUAGAUGGAUCAUCCAAAUAAAGACAAAAUUGGCUAUGUAAACAUUGGUGAGGGACUAUUUCAGCUUAAGAAAAAUAGUUGAGGGACUAAAUUGGCUUAUAAUAAAAUUAGGGACUACUUCAGCUUUGUAAAAAUAGUUGAGAGACUAAAUUGACUCAUAAAAAGUUUAGGGACUAUUUUGACAUUAACGAAAUAGUUUUGAGACUAUAAACAUUAGGUCACAAUGUUGAAAUAUCAAAACCCAUGUUUGGGACCAAAACUCAUAGAACUUCUUCACGUCGCUAGCGAAAUUUGAUUCUGAAGUAAUGCUAAUUUUAUUUAUUAUUUGUUUCCUUGCUGGUCUUCUGUCUUUUUGGUUACAAUAUUAAAAUGUAUCCAUAAUUUUCAAUUCCAAAAGUGUUGAAUAUUUAAACGAAUUCUAGAAAGGGCACUGAGAGUCAAAAUCUUAUUCAAACAGCCAGCCAUCUCAGAGUACAUAUUUUUUUAUUAUCAGGUUCAAAAUGUAUCUAUUGCAAUUUUUGAAUGAUCAGCCAUGACUAAGAGAAUAAAAUAAUUCACUUGCUGUUUUUAGAUGUGAAUUCAUGACUGUCAGUAGUCUAUAAAUACACUUAUUGCUCACCACUCUUUGCACCGCAAAAUCUUUUCAAGAUCUAUCAAACCCUCCUGUUCUUGAUCUUUGUCCAUUUGUGAAAAAGCAAAUUAAAGCAUCAUGGCCUCUAUCACUUGUAGUGCUGAGAUGACCUCCCCAAUCCCUCCUGCAAGGUUGUUCAAGGCCGCCAUCCUUGAUGACCACCUUCUUCCCAAGAUCAUGCCACAGGCUAUUAAGAGUGGAAAUCCUUGAAGGAGAUGGUGGAGUUUGAACCAUUAAGUUGAGCACAUUUGGUGAAGGUUAGCAGUUAUAUUAAAUGUAGAACCCAAAUUUUAAGGAUCUAAUAAUAAUCAAUGCGUGCAGGGUUACAGAAUUGGAGGGAUAAAAUAAAUACUCAAAAUAUACGUGGAAGAAAAGAAAAUAAUAAAUUCAACUCAUAAUAUUAUUGAAAUUUCAAACAAUGAAGAAAAUCAUACCACAAUAAAUUCAGCUGGUUCUAAUAAUAAUCAAAGCAUACAAGGUUGCAGAAUUAAAAGGAUAAAACAAACACUCAAAAUAUAUGUGGGAGAGAAGAAAAUAAUAAAUUCAACACACAAUAUUACUGAAAUCUCAAACAAUGAAAAAAGUCACACCAUAAUAGAAAACCUUGCUAAUUCUUCUAGAUUCUUUCUCUUGAGAAACCAACCUAAAUAAUGUCCUAUUUAUAAUCUACCAAACUUGUUAGGAAAGAAACCACUUGCAUAAGAAAUUACCAAAUAAAACAGAAAUUCCUAAAUCACACAACUACUAAAAACAUAACUCAAAUAAAACUAAAAAUAAAUAAAUAUUUCUUGGCUUAGUUUAAUUUGUCAACAUUGCCUCCCUUAAACCAAACUAUCCAUUGAGAUAGGUUCAACACCAUCUCGAGCAAUAAUUUCUAUGUUGUAGUACACUUGACAUGAAACUCUAACUUGUUACCAGUUAUUAAUUUCAUUUUUACAUGUAACAAUGGACGCACUAUGUAUUUUGUAAAAAAUUUCUCAGCAAUUUCUUCUUGAUCAAAGUACUCACUUAUACAAACACAUUCAUCACCAGAAUCACCAUAUUUACCACCAAUGUAAGUGCCUAAAAAUACAAAAUCAUAGAUUGCUUUCUGGCUAAAAUUAUCAUCACCAAAUAAUUCAAAAUAACCACUACUACAAUCAUCCAAAAUUUUCAUACUGUCAGUCAACUCUUUUGGAGUAAAGUAUUUUUCAACUCCGAUGACAUCCAUAUCUAUCAAAUCAAACAUUCUCCCAUGACUUUGAAGAGAGUCCGCAACCAACGAAUUUUUCAACAACAAUUUCAUGUUCUCUUCUCUUAUCAAAUCAAAAUUUUCUUCUUCUUUUGUCAAAUUACCAUUUUAUUUUUUUCAACAAAUUCAUUACUUCUAAUUUCUCCAAACAAGGUACGCAAAUCAAAACUAUCAAUUGAUUCAAAAUUUUCAAUAUCACCCAUAUUAUCAACAAAUCUAUCAUUUUUAAAAUCCACAAACUAAUUCCAACAACUAGACUUCGGUUUGAAAGCAUAAUUUCUCUCAAUCGUGUGCAAAACAUAGUAAAUAUUCUUCCAAAAUCUCUAAAGUAUUUUAGUACAACCAAUAAAGGUUUUAUAAAUACUUUUUGCCAUUAAUUUAUGCAUCACUUGAAAGAAUAAUUGUGCCUUUUUCUUAAAAACAUGUUUUGCCAACUUACUUGCGUCAACCCAACAAAGAAUAUCAUCCAAAUUACAUUGUUUGACAUAUUUUUCCACUGUUAAAAUCCAACCAAAUAUGUAUGUAUAUUUGUGCUUAUAGGAGUCAAUAUGAAAAAUUUUUCACCGUCAAUCAGAUCUUUAUAAUAUUCCAUUAUUUAACAAUUUGUAUACCUGAAUAAAUUUUUUUCCUCCAUCCUGUCAUGUUUUCUUGGCCUCCCUGGUUGACUAACCAAAUUAUUGUUGUAUGUAUACCCAUGCUCGUCAAACCUCAUUCGUGUACACUCGUAAGGAGUGGUUCUGAGCUUAUUGUGAAUGCUCAGUACCAAGAAGUAGAAGAGAGAAUGCAUAAGAGAGAAUUAACUUGGCUAAAGAAUUAGGAAACAAUUGAGGGAUUUUUUAAGAAAUUAAUUCUCCAACUGCCACUUUUGGAAAUUUUCUAUCAACAACUAGUUACCAAAACACUAGCACAUAGUAAGAAAUCUGGAUAAUUUCAGAAACCUCCCUUGAGGCUUUUAAUAAUCUCGAGAAGCUCCCCUCAAUUUUUAAAAUUGCACGUACCAUCCCUAUUGGUGCAAAAGUACUCUACUACCCCUAAUAGGAUACUCAAAAGACUUUUUUUAUGGGAAAAAAGAAGGCCAGAAAUCCAAGCGAAAACAAAAAAAAUCAAUUUAUUUUCUCUUUUAGCCUUUUACGCUUUUGCCUUCUACCUUUGCUCACUUUCCCAUGCCAAUCUUCCUAUAACCACUUUCCCAAUCCCCUUUCCCCAACUUUUCUUCUCUACUUCAAGACCAAUUUUUGUCCAUCAAUCCUGGCUUGUGCUUUGUUCCAUUCCCUUCCCUUCUCCUUCUUUGAUUUCCCCUAUAUCUCCCCUUCUCUUUGCAAAAGUGACUAGGCUCAUCUCUCUCCUUUUUUUCCCCAUAUUUUAAGUGUAGUGGGUUUGAUUAUUUUGCAUCUAUUUUAUUUGAUUUUGGUUGAUUAUGGGUGAUAAAACUUGGUGAUGUCACAUAUUAAAAGUUUGAUAGAUGGAUAUUGGGCUUUAGACAAUGAUUUGCUGAAAAAAAUGGCCGCAAUGAGAGGAAGAGGCAAAGGGAUUUGAGUGUGGGGUUGAUUGUUGAUGAAUUGUUGUUUUGGAAAAAAUUUGAGGUUGAGUUUUAUCAAAUUUGGUAGCAAGUGGCGAGAUUUGUUCAGGUUGCGGGAAAUAAAUUGGUUUGUGGUUUCUUGGGCACCCACAGUCGUUGGAAUUGGUUUUGAUUCAAAUUAGGGUGGUUACUUGAUUUUCCUAAUAGUGUUGCUUAAAAGCACACGAUCAUCAAAAUUCCUUAUUUUUAUCUUUUAUUUUUUUUUUGUAGAAAAGAUUUCAUGACUUUCGUGAUAGUCUAAUUUGGAAGAAGGCAAUCAAGGGAUGCAAUCAACAUUUAGCAAAAGCUCUUGUUCUUUUCUUUGUAAUUUUUAGGGUAAAAAGGGUUGUUUAGGGUAUUUGAAGGAAAUGAUAGUCUAUUGGGUCUAUUUUGAAGCAUAAAUAGUGAACGUAAGGGAGGUUGGUGUUAUUUCUGAAACCUAAGGGAAUUGUCUGAAAUUGUCCGAGACCUCGGAGGAGGUUUUCAAAAUUAUCCGUAAGAAAUCAAAUGCGAAACUUGAUUCGUACACGCACACACGACACCACACCACGUCACGCGUGUGUUGAGGACUGAUGUCCGUAGCCAACGACAAGCAGGUUUUCAAUUUUUUUUUCCUUUCCUGGAUUCAGAGAUGGUGUCAGCUUCUAUUAUUGGUGAGCAGGAGGAAAUCCACAAUAUACAGUACACAUCACCCAUAUUCUUUUUAAUUGAACAAUGUAUGAAAUUAUGGUGAUUCGAAAUUAAAUUAUAUGUUUAUUGGACAACGAAUCCAAAAUAAGAGUUGGAAAUGUAUUGUGACAACAAUUGUUAACUUUGGCCACAAAUGAUCAAAAUAAAUAUUUAAGGUUUAAUAUGACAUUAUGGGUUCAAAAUAUAGUUACUUGUUAUGAAACAACUAAAAGUGCGGAUGCCCAUUUGUAUUCUCAAAAGGAUCAAUUCAUAAUUCAUUGCUCCCAAGAUGAUUAAUUCAUAAUUCAUUGCUACAUUAUGUAAAGAAAUUACAUUGGAUGAAUGGUUUCAAUCCAUAAGAGCUAUUCAUGUAUUGGAUGAACCGUUUCAUAUGGCUAUUCAUGUUCUUGUAGUAAUGAGUGUUUAAUAGAAUUGAUGUACCUUUAAUUUUAUAGUACCUAUACAUAGAGGUACCUGGCACCUCUUCGGUGUACUUUUUGAUUAGUUGGAAUAAUAAGAAAAUCAUUCUCCAUUUCUGUACUCUUUCACUAAUAUUUCAAUUCCUAUUAUAGUAGUUCAUUUUUUUUUAGUUUUACAACACGUUAUCAGUACGAGUCUCUCCUUUUAAACAAAAAGGUGAAAACGGAGCCUCUACCUUAAAAAAAAAGUGAAACACGAGAUUUUGCCGAAAUUCUGCCGUAUUUUUCCAGUAACUUCUGUCUACUUAUUGAGAAAUGGAUGCCAAAUAUUUGGGAUUAAAUGAUGGUGAUGAUGACAUUUGUCUCAUUGAUAGUGCUACUACGCGCACUAUAUUGAAAAAUAAAAAAAUUUUCUUGUAUGAAAAUGGGAGAGACAAAUGUUAAUAUCAUAAGUGGUAGUGCAAAAUUGAUUGAAAGAUUCGGAAGAGCCACUCUAUUUCUUCCUAAAGGGACUAAAAUUGUCGUAAAUAAUGCACUAUUGUCUCCCAAGUCUCGGAGAAAUUUAUUGAGUUUUAAAGAUAUCCGCAAAAACGGAUAUCAUAUUGGGACAAUGAUUGAGACAAAUGGAAAAUUUUUAUUAAUCACAAGUAUCAUUUCUAGACAGAAAUACGUAGUAGAAAAAUUACCUUCUUUUUCUUUUGGCUUAUAUUAUGCACAAAUUAGUGCAAUUGAAAUUUAUCACCUAGUAAACCAAAAGUCUAUUCAUCCCAAUAAUUUUAUCAUUUGGCAUGAUCAUUUCAGAAAUCUUGAAUCUAUAAUGAUGAGACAAAUAAUCGAGAAUUCACAUGGUCACUCAUUGAAAAAUCAAAAGAUAUUAAAAGCAAAUGAAUUCUCCUGUGUUGCUUGUUCCCACGGAAAAUUUAUUAGACCAUCACCAGCUAAAGUUGGGACUGAAUCCCCUACAUUUCUAGAACGAAUUCAUGGUGAUAUAUGUGGAUUAUUUCGAUAAUUUAUGGUGCUAAUUGAUGCAUCAUCUAGAUGGUCACAUGUAUGUUUAUUAUCUACUCCCAACCUGGCGUUUGCGAGUUUGCUUGCUCAAAUAAUUAAAUUGCGAGCACAAUUUUCAGACUAUCCAAUAAAGAAAAUUCAUCUAGAUAAUGCUGGUGAAUAUUCAUCACAUACUUUUGACGAUUAUUGCAUGUCCAUUGGAAUAACUGUUGAACAUCUUGUAACUUAUGUUCACACACAAAAUGGUCUAGCCGAAUCAUUUAUUAAACGGCUACAAUUAAUUGCUAAACCAUUGUUGAUGAGGUUUAAACUACUUUCAUCUGCUUGCGAACAUGCUAUAUUACAUGCAGCAACACUUGUGAGAAUUAGACCGACAAGUUAUCAUACUUAUUUUUCCCUACAAUUAACUUUUGGUUAUGAAUCCAAUAUUUUUCAUUUAAGAAUAUUUGGUUAUUCAGUUUGUGUUCUAAUUGCACCGCCCCGACGUUGUAAAUUGGGCUCGCAAAGAAGAUUGAAAAUAUAUGUCGGGUAUGAAUCACCUCUAAUUAUUAAGUAUAUGGAACCAUUGACAGAUGAUUUAUUUAUUGCGAGAUUUGUAGAUUGUCAUUUUGAUGAAUCAGAUUUUUCAACAUUAGGGGGGAGAUAAAAAUCAACCGAAAAAGGAAAUCACUUUAAAAAUAUCAUUGAAUUUUCUCGAUUCUCGUACAAAAGAAUGUGAACUAGAAAUUCAAAAGAUUAUACAUUUGCAAAAAAUUACAAAUCAAUUACCGGAUGCAUUUAAUGACUCCAGAAGAGUUACUAAAUCACAUAUUCCUAUUGAAAAUGCUCUGAUUAAAAUUAAUAUCCUUGAAGGACAAAUUACAAGUGCUAAUGAGUCUAAAGUGCGCCUGAAGCGUGGGAGAUUUCUUGGUUCCAAAGAUAAAAAUUUUCGAAAGAAAAGAGGAGUACAUGAAUCAACAAUUAAUGACAAAAUUUAACCUCCUGAAGAGAUCGCUCCUAAAGAGCCAAUUCUUGAAGAGAAUAAAAUCAUAGAAAAUUCAAUAAAUUUUGUCACUUCAGGGAAAAGUUGGAACCGAAAAGAAAUAAUUAUUGAUAGUAUUUUUGUAUAUAAUGUAGCACUUGAUAUUAUGGUAGAGAAUGGGGAUUACGAGCCUAAAUCGAUUGAUGAAUGUCGACGUAGAAAUGAUUGGCCAAAAUGAAAAGAUGCGAUCCAAUUUGAAUUGGACUCACUGGUUAAAAGAAAAGUUUUUGGACCUGUAGUCCAAACACCUGAAGGUGUGAAGCCAGUAGGAUAUAAAUGGGUAUUUGUGAAAAAAAAAUGAGAAAAAUGAAAUCGUGAGGUAUAAAUUAAUACUUGUAGCCAAAGGAAUUUCACAAAGGCCUGGAUUUGAUUAUGAUUACACGUAUUCACUUGUAGUGGAUGCUAUCACAUUUAGAUAUCUUGUGAGUUUUGCAGUACAUGAAAAAUCAGAUAUGCAUCUAAUGGACGUCGUUACUGCAUAUUUAUAUGAAAAUCUUGAAAAUGAUAUUUAUAUGAGAAUUCCCGAAGGAUUCAAUAUGCCUGAAACAUGCAAAUCAAAUCUUAAAAAUAUUUAUUUAAUUAAAUUACAAAAGUCUUUGUAUGGAUUCAAACAAUCUGAACGUAUGUGGUACCGCCUUAAUGAAUGUUUAACUAAAGAAGGCUAUACCAAUGAUCCAAUAUGUCCAUGUGUCUUUAUCAAGAAAAAUGGAUCAAAUUUUGUGAUAAUUGUUGUAUAUGUUGAUGAUCUAAAUAUGAUUGGAACACCUGAAAAGAUUCAAAAUAGUGUUGAAUAUUUGAAAAAAAAUUUGAGAUCAAAGAUUUUGGAAAAAUAAAAUUUUUCCUUGGUUUACAAAUUGAGCAUUUGAAAAGUGGAAUUUUGUCCACCAAACUGCUUAUACCCGGAAGGUAUUAAAGCGAUUUUAUAUGGAUAAGUCACAUACAUUAAGUAUUCCAAUGGUCAGAUCAUUAGAUCCUAAUAAGGACCCUUUUAGACCGCGAGAGGAAGAUGAAGAGAUACUUGGUCCUAAAGUACCAUAUCUCAGUGCAAUUGGUGCACUACUGUAUCUUGCUAAUUGUACAAGACUUGAUAUAUCAUUUACAAUAAAUUUAUUAGCAAGAUUUAUUUCCUCGCCCACAAGACGACAUUGGAAUGGUAUUAAACAUAUUUUUCGUUAUCUUUAAGGAACAAAUUGAUCUUGGCUUAUUUUAUUCAAAUAAAUCUAAACUUGAAUUGCUUGGUUAUGUUGAUGUUGGAUAUUUAUCUGAUUUGCAUAAAGCAAGAUCUCAGACUGGUUAUCUAUUUACAUAUGGAGGUACAACCAUUUCUUGGCGAUCUAGAAAGCAAUUAUUAGCCGCCACUUCAUCGAAUCAUGCUAAAAUAAUAGCAAUUCAUGAGGCUAGUCGAGAAUGUGUUUCGUUAAGAUCAAUGACCUACUAUAUCCGGAAGAGUUGUGGGUUAUCCUCUGAAAAAGAAAAUCCUCCGACUAUAUUUUAUGAAGAUAAUGCAGCUUGUAUAGCUCAAUUGAAAGGAGAAUAUAUUAAAGGAGAUAGAACGAAAUAUAUUUCACCAAAAUUCUUUUUUACUCAUGAUUUACAAAAGAAUGGUGAAAUUGUUGUGCAACAAAUCCGAUCAGAUAAUAAUUUGAUAGAUUUAUUUACUAAUGUAUUGCCGACUGCAAUAUUUGAGAAAUUGGUGAAGAAUAUUGGAAUGCGACGACUAUAAAAUCUCAAAUGAUAUUUGCAUCAGGGGGAGAAAUCAAUACACAAGAAUAGUGUACUCUUUUUUUUUCACUAGAGUUUUUGUCCCGUUGGAUUUUUUCCUAGUAAGGUUUUAAUAAGACAUAUUCUUUGUGUAAUUAAUAUCCAAUGGGGAGUGUUAUGAAAUAACUAAAAGUGUGGAUGUCCAUUUGUAUUCUCAAGAAGAUCAAUUCAUAAUUCAUUGCUCCCAAGAGAAUUAAUUCAUAAUUUAUUGCUACAUUAUGUAAAGGAAUUACAUUGGAUGAUCGGUUUCAAUCCAUAAGAGCUAUUCAUGUAUUGGAUGAACCAUUUCAUAUGGCUAUUCAUGUUCUUGUAGUAACGAGUGUUUAAUAGAAUUGAUGUACCUUUAAUUUUGUAGUACCUAUAUAUAGAUGUACCUUAGCUGAUAGGUUGCAAUUUUAUCAUUUAUUUUAUAAUUAAUUUCUCCUAUUACCUGACUUGAUGUGGAUUAAUUGCGGGAUUCUACUCACUUUUAGUAUUUUGCAUUUAUUUCAGGGAGUAGAGCGAAAAUAUAAUAACAGGUGCUAAUUUGACAAAAAAAGAGUCCAAGGCACAGAGCUUAUCCCGGGGGCAUUAUUGGCAAAGGAAGACUUUUGCCCAUUUUGGUAAUUUCAAAAGAAGAGAGCAGGGCAGAGGCCUCUAUUUUACUGGAGGCUGGAGCGCCGCACAAAGGGAGCUUCUUCUUCCUUCGGAGGCUCCGUCCUCUCCGCAAGGGGGCUGCCGCACACAGCAGCCAUUAGAAUAGGAGCAAUUGAUAUAUGACAGAGAAUGAGCACUAGCACCAGGGAGUUGCCUUUGUUGACUUUUCUUCCCUUUUAGUUCUUAGUAGUUGUUUUACCUUCCUCGUACGUAGGACCUUUAGCAUAGUUUCCUUUUGACUUUCCCUUGAGUCUUGGGUGGAUGUCUCCUGCGCAUGUCAGGAGCAAUUGAAGGUCUCGGUCACUUUCUGUAUUCUUCCAUCAACUGAGCGAACUGAGCUCCCUUGGUCAAGGGCAAUGGCUGCGGCUUCCUCUCCAACUUUGUGUGGGAUUCGUUCACCAGGAAUGAACUAAUUUUUCUUUUCUAGUCAAGGAACAACGGAGGUCUUGGUUGGCCUAAAUUUGUGAGAUCGAAUUAGUUUUUAUUUAUUUCCAUUAUUCACUGGUAUUUGUCUAUCUUCUGCUUUAUGUUCAUAUGGUUGUUUUAUUAUUCGAUUAUCCAGGGCCCGGAUACUAGAUUAAUUCAAUAACCUGAAGCCAAUUAGGAUAGUUAAAUCCGUAAUUGUUUAAUUAUUCUAAACUGCUGGCAACUGGCAUGAUUGGGUUUGUGUCAGGGGGAUAAACAUGCUAACUUAAAGAGACCCUCGUAGCGUGUUGAUUGGUUAGAAUUAGGCUCUUCUAAUUAUUCAUGCAAUUAGGGAAUUGAACUUCUAUGGUCGUACCUAGGGUUAUUUCCUGAUUAGAGAAAUAGUCAACGGUCGUACCUUGGCUAUCGACAAAUUGAGGAAGAGUUGGUUGUUUAUCGCGUGUAUGGCAACUAUAACUAAUUUAUCAGAUAGUAACUGGAAUAAUCCUUGCAUCUGUGAUCGAAUUAAGUGAACCAUCUCCGAAGUUGUCUCUUGGCUAGAGUUCGUCAAUUAUUAUUUUUAUUGUGAUAAUUAGUUAUUUGAGUUGUAGUUAUUUUAUUUUAUUUAUUCCAAGUAAUUUAGUUACUCUCAUUUUCAAAAACCCCCCAUAUCUGGAACUUGAGAAGAAAUUAAAUUAUCCCCAGUCCCUGUGGAUUCGACCCUGCUCACCGCUAUAUACAGAAUUUGUAUUUUAUUUGAGCAGGUAUUUAUUAUUGCACAGGUUCGGCACCUGUCAAUUUUUUGCUACAUUAUGUAAAGGAAUUACAUUGGAUGAUCGGUUUCAAUCCAUAAGAGCUAUUCAUGUAUUGGAUGAACCAUUUCAUAUGGCUAUUCAUGUUCUUGUAGUAACGAGUGUUUAAUAGAAUUGAUGUACCUUUAAUUUUGUAGUACCUAUAUAUAGAUGUACCUUAGCACCUCUUGGGUGUACUUUUUGAUUAGUUGGAAUAAUAAAAAAAUCAUUCUCCAUUUCUGUACUUCUUUCUCUAAUAUUUCAAUUCCUAUCACAGUAGUUAUUUUUUUUUAGCUUUACAACAUUACUUAAAUAAGAGAGUUAUUGGACUAUAUGUUUAUUGACCUCUACUAACUUAUUUAAGGUCAUUUCAUAUCACUAUCCAAAGAAGAAUUAAGGUCAUUUCAUAUCACUAUCCAAAGAACAAUUCUUGGGCGCUAACAUUUUUCUUACAUGACUAUUAAUGAAAGUUGACCCAAAUCUCUCUGUCUCUCUCUUUCUUUCAAUUCUUAGGACUGAUGCCAAUUCUUACCAUUUAGAAAGAAAAAUUAGAUUGUUUAUAUAUAUGAUGAGUUCCCUCUAAGUCAUGGUUAAGAAAAAUUCUUAGUUAAACGCAGUUUUAUGAAAUGUGAAUUUCCUUUUCUUUGUCUUUAUUCAUUAGUAUUAUUGGGGUUAUUGUAUUAUGAUUGCAAUGCACAGAUACAUGGAUUUUUGACAUUUUUUCUUUUUAAUUGACUCUGACUAUGCCUCAAACUCGAGACAUCAAACCUGGACACGACUUUUGUCCAAAAUGCUUGUAAAAAUUCAGAAGAAUAAUUUUGGACCUUAUUAUUUGAUAAUGGUACAAUUAUGAGAGUCAUUCCAGGUUAAUUAUCAAACUUGGAACUUGAAAAUAAUGUCGACAUCAUGUCAUUAUUAUUUUUUAGUUUCAUAGAAAAAUGAAGUAUUCUCCAACUCGACAUUAUCAUAGUAUUUUCAAUUGGCAGCUCAUGUGAGAAAGACAAGAAAUUCACAAUCAACUGGCCAAGAGAGUGCCAACAAAGAAAGCACUAAAUGGCUUAAACAAUGCAUGCAAAUUUGCUUGGCACUUAAACAAUAGACACCUAAAUCAACCAUGUCACUGUCUUGCCAAAAAAGGGCAUUAAAGUAAAAACAACUCAUGCCUACCACAGGUAACAAACUUCAGCACCUUCACUUCACUACCAUGUCAGCAACAACAUUUGCAAAUUUCCAAGGAAGUCCACGCACUAAAGGUGCCCAUGCCCUUAGGGGACCUCAGGUUAGUGUUCUUAACCUCAACUCCUGUCUUUCUGUUCUUAGGAAAUAUUGAAAUUAAACGUUAUAACUAAUCCUGAUUUCCUUGUGCUAUAUUUGUACACAAUUUGGCAACAAGGGUAAAAAAAAAUAAAAAUAAAAAGGUUUAUCUGCAAACUGUAGUUCGGCCUGGCUCUUUUUUUUUUUUUUUUUUUUGGGGAUAAGAUCAUCUCAGCACCCGCAGACCCCGUCAUGUAUCAAUAUUUCUGUACUUAGCAUUGGCUUCUUCUCGCCUGAAGAACACACGAACCACCGAAAUAGAUGGUGCAUGAAAGUGCACUUAACCCUUUUAAUUUUUCAAAACAAUCUUUUAGAAAAAAUAAUAAAAACUUUUUGAAUUUAAUUUUAGAGAAGAAGAAUUUUAAAAUUUUUUGAAUUUAAUCUUAGAGAAGAAGAAGUUUAAAAUGUACUUUAAUUUUCACAACUGAUGAUGAAAAUAGCAAAAUGUACACGGAUAGUGACAAAAGUGGGAUCACGGGCAGGAAAUCCUGAAGGUUGCGUGCAUUUUACACACGGCAUAAUUCUGUUUGUAUAUAGUGUAAUUUACUUUUUACAACGUGUAAUUUUAAAACAAAAUUUUGUAAGUCUCACACAUUUUAUUAAAAAUAAGGUACAAGAUGAAAUUUGGACCAUAUAAUUUUUUUUAAUCAAAUCUUGACCGUGAACUGCUCAGAAACGGUUUACCUGAUGACCGUCCCUGGUCCAAACCCGACAAAGGUGCCAUCUUAUCCUUUUACUGACUGGCCCGUUUUCCAAUGAGAGGGCCCAGAAGGGGUGCCUCUGCUUCAUAGUUUAUCCAUAUUGAUAUUUCUUUUCUGUCCCCCUAACUAUUAAAUGUGAAAGGUUGCCCACCAAAUUUGACGAAACCGUUUAUCCUAAUUGAUUAUUAUCAAUAGGGCAUAACUUUAAUAUUCUUCUUCCAACCCUUUCUGGUGAUUCCUGCAACUCCAGCCGUCCGUCAAUGACCAUAAAGCACCAUUAACCGACAACUAACUAACCACUAUUAAUCUAUUCUCAAAUUUUAAUGAAAUUGCACAAUCUAUUCUCAAAUCAAAUUUGAACAACAUUUUAUAGUCGAUAACUUUGAAACUUGAUAAAAAAGUCUGUUUAAACUCGGUUUAGUAAAUAAACAAAUCAAGUUUGAACAAAAUUUUAAACUCAUUAAAAUAAUUAAACACGUUUGAAUAUUAGGGUAUUCGAUUUAAUUAGACACGUUUGUAUCCCUAAUUAAAGCAUGCACUUUUAUAAGUUUAGGAAUCAACAUUAUACAUUUAAUAGCUAGCUAGAGGGUCAAAAAGUUAAUUGCCUUAAAUUCUUUUAGCAGCCAUAAGGUACAGUUGGAGGGAUUCCCUUGAAAUUGGUUAGAUUCUUCUAUGUGACUAAAGAAUUUCGGGUGUGACGCAUUACUAGUCCUACCCUAAAAAAAAAUGGUAUUACUAGUCCUUUUUUUCUUUUUUGGCGUGCCCCCGUCGUGGGAUGUGGGGAGGGGAGUCUGUGCGAGAAUUCUAGGUCGGGGUACAAGGAGCCAAAGUUCACCUUAUUCAAAGUAAACAACCGUCCAUCUCAGUUGUCGACUUUCCUGUCGAUUGCGUAUAUAUAUAUAUUACUAUCUUUUACCAUGACUUUAGAGGAUAGCUAAUUUUGCUUGCUAUUAAAUAAUAAUUUCGGUAGUCUAUAAAUACUCUUGUUCCUCACCGCUCCUAGCACCACAUAAUUCCUUCAAGAACAGCCAAAACCUUCUUGAAAUCCCUCUUUUUCCUUCUAGUUCAUUUCCAAGAAACAAAUGGCCCCUGUCACUUCCAGUUAUGAGGUCACCUCCUCAAUCCCUCCUGCAAGGUUGUUCAAGGCCACCAUCCUCGAAGAGAAGCAUCUUCACAAGAUCUUGCCACAGGGCGUUAAGAGUGUCGAAAUCCUUGAAGGAGAUGGUGGAGUUGGCACAAUUAAGUUGACCACAUUUGUUGACGGUAAGAUAAUCAAUACAAAGUGAUUAUUUUCACACAUUUGAAGUCUUCAAAUUUUUCUCUUUUUUUCCCUUUUAUUUGGGAAAAACUAAUGACUUUUUUUUUUUGGUUGGGUUAAAUAUUUAGGUGGCGAGCAUAAGACUGCCAAACAGAGAGUUGAUGGAAUUGACAAAGAAAAAUUUACAUACAGCUAUACUGUACUUGAAGCUGAUGGAUUUAACGAUGUAAUCGAGAAAAUCUGUUGUGUCAUCAAAUUUGAACCCUCUGCUGAUGGAGGUUCAAUCUGCAAAACCACUAACACAUACUACCCCAAAGGUGGUGCUCAGAUCAGUGAGGAACACCUCAAGGGAGGAAAAGAGAUGGGUUUGGGAAUGGUUAAGGCUGUUGAGGCAUACCUCCAUGCAAAUCCUACUGCCUACAACUAAUUAUAAUGAAUGCUACUGCAAGGACUCUUCGACAUAUUUUCUUCAAGAUUGAAGUAUAAACUGAGGGUGUCUGUUUCCUUUUUUGCUUGGUUUGCUUAAGCUGUUUGGUUAAGUUAUUCGCAGCAAGAGAAUAAAAUAAUUCAUUUGCUGUUUUUAGAUAUGAAUUCAUGACUGUCAGUAGUCUAUAAAUACACUUAUUGCUCACCACUCUUUGCACCGCAAAAUCUUUUCAAGAUCCAUCAAACCCUCCUGUUCUUGAUCUUUCUCCAUUUGUGAAAAAACAAAUUAAAGCAUCAUGGCCCCUAUCACUUGUAGUGCUGAGAUGACCUCCCCAAUGCCUCCUGCAAGGUUGUUCAAGGCCGCCAUCCUUGAUGACCACCUUCUUCCCAAGAUCAUGCCACAGGCUAUUAAAAGUGGAAAUUCUUGAAGGAGAUGGUGGAGUUUGAACCAUUAAGUUGAGCACAUUUGGUGACGGUUAGAUGUUAUAUUAAAUGUAGAACCCAAAUUUUAAGGAUCUAAUAAUAAUCAAUUAAUAAUAAUCAAUGCGUGCAGGGUUACAGAAUUGGAGGGAUAAAACAAAUACUCAAAUAAAUGUGGAAGAAAAGAAAAUAAUAAAUUCAACUCACAAAAUUAUUGAAAUUUCAAACAAUGAAAAAAAUCAUACCUUAAUAAAUUCAGUUGGUUUUAAUAAUAAUCAAAGCAUACAAGGUUAAAGAAUUAAAAGGAUAAAACAAACACUCAAAAUAUAUGUGGGAGAGAAGAAAAUAAUAAAUUCAACACACAAUAUUAUUGAAAUCUCAAACAAUGAAAAAAGUCACACCAUAAUAGAAAAUCUUGCAAAUUCUUCUAGAUUCUUUCUCUUGAGAAACCAACCUAAAUAAUGUUCUAUUUAUAAUCUACCAAACUUGUUAGGAAAGAAACCACUUGCAUAAGAAAUUACCAAAUAAAACAGAAAUUCCUAAAUCACACAACUACUAAAAACAUAACUCAAAUAAAACUAAAAAAUAAAUAAAUUUUUCUUGGCUUAGUUUAAUUUGUUAACAUUGCCUCCCUUAAACCAAACUAUCCAUUGAGAUAUGUUCAACACCAUCUCGAGUAACAAUUUCUAUGCAAAUCUAUGUUGUAGUAUACUUGACAUGAAACUCUAACUUGUUACCAGUUAUUAAUUUCAUCUUUACACGUAACAGUGGACGUACUAUGUAUUUUGUAAAAAAUUUCUCAACAAUUUCUUCUUGAUCAAAGUACUCAUUUAUACAAACCCAUUCAUCACCAGAAUCAUCAUAUUUACCACCAAUGUAAGUUCCUAAAAAUACAAAAUCAUUGCUUGCUUUCUCGCUAAAAUUAUCAUAACCAAAUAAUUUAAAAUAGCCACUACUACAAUCAUCCAAAAUUUUCAUACUGUCAGUCAACUCUUUUGGAGUAAAAUAUUUUUCAACUAUAAUGACAUCCAUAUCUAUCAAAUCAAGCAUUCUCCCAUCACUUUGAAGAAAGUCCGAACCAACGAAUUUUUCAACAACAAUUUCAUGAUCUCUUCUCUUAUCAAGUCAAAAUUUUCUUCUUCUUUUGUCAAAUUACCAUAUUAUUGUUUCAACAAAUUCAUUACUUCUAAUUUCUCCAAACAAGGUACGCAAAUCAAAACUAUCAAUUGAUUCAAAAUUUUCGAUAUCACCCAUAUUAUCAACAAAUCUAUCAUUUUUAAAAUCCACAAACCAAUACCAACAACUAGACUUCGGUUUGAAAGCAUAAUUUCUCUCAAUCGUGUGCAAAACAAAGUAAAUAUCCUUCCAAAAUCUCUAAAGUAUUUUAGUAUGACCAAUAAAGGUUUUAUAAAUACUUUCUGCCAUUAUUUUACACAUCACUUGAAAGAAUAAUUGUGCUUUUUUUCUUAAAAACAUGUUUUGCCAACUUACUUGCAUCAACCCAACAAAGAAUAUCAUCCAAAUUACAUUGUUUGAGAUAUUUUUCCACUGUUAAAAUUCAGCCAAAAUAUGUAUGUCUAUUUGUGUUUAUAGGAGUCAAUAUGGAAAAUUUUUCACCAUCAAUCAGAUCUUUAUAAUAUUCCAUUAUUUAACAAUUUGUAUACCUGAAUAAAUUUUUUUCCUCCAUCCUGUCAUGUUUUCUUGGCCUCCUUGGUUGACUGACCAAAUUAUUGUUGUAUGUAUACCCAUGCUUGUCAAACCUCAUUCGUGUACACUCGUAAGGAGUGGUUUUGAGCUUACUGUGAAUGCUUAAUACCAAGAAGUAGAAGAGAGAAUGCAUAAGAGAGAAUUAACUUGGCUAAAGAAUUGGGAAGCAAUUUAGGGAUUUUUUAAGAAAUUAAUUCUCCAACCGCCACUUUUGGAAAUUUCUAUCAACAACUAGUUACCAAAACACUAGGACAGCGAUCCGUCUCUAUUUUACUCUUCAAGUCUUCGCCGGGGAAGCAACCCGGCCUUGCGAGACUAUAAUGAAUAGGCACUUGCCUUCUGUUUUUACUUUUUUUUUGUUCAAAGACUAUAAUGCCCUUAUUAUUUGACUGCGCAUCUCGCAAGAUAAUGCUUUCCAUCAAAAUUAACUGUUGGGUUUGACAGAAGCGCCACGAAUAUUCUAUUUUAUUAGAUCCAGAGUCAAAAUUUUACCGUUAAUUGUUAGAGGGUUAAAACUUUAUCUGGAAAGGAGUUGGAGGGCCAUUGGAACUCUUUUUCCAAAAAAAAAAAAAAGUCACUUUUGUCAUUUGUCCAAGAACAGUUCUGGGGCCAUCUCGACAGUAUAUAUUUUUCUUACAUGCCAAGACAAUUAAUGAAAAUUGACCAAUAACACACGCACACACACACACACACACACACACUCUCUCUCUCUCUCUCUCUCUCUCUCGGUUGCUGCCAAGUCUUUCCAUUGAAAAAGGAAAAUUCAUAUUGUUUACAUAGAUAAAUUACCUCCAGUCCGUGGAAUGUCUUGAUGUUAGGUGAGUUCUAAUAUUUUGGUAUCAUCUAGAGGUGGCAAAUCAACCCACUUAACUAAAUUUACCCAUAUCCGCCCAUGAAUAGAUGGGUAUGGAUAUCUUAAAUUUUUGUAUAUGAGUAUAAAUGGGUUACCCAAUAAUACCCAUUUAAAUGGGUAACCCAUCAAACCCAAUUAACCCAUUUAGAAUUCUCUUCCCCUCAAGUCUCUUCUUUUCCCCCACCUUUUUUUUUUUCAAAUUUUUCAUUUUGUCAUGAUGUUAACUACUUUUGUUUUAUUAUUAUUAUUUGUUGGUUUUAUCUUAUUAUUUUAUUUUCUCUUAGUUUGUUAACUUACUCAUUUUUUACCAUUACCAAUUUAUGAUAAAUUUUAGCCUAUUUUCUUAUCUUUAUAAAAUGAAAUUUUAAAUUUAUAUAUGAAAAAAAUGUUAGGGGUUCAAAAAUUUUGGAUUAAGUUUUUAUAUUAAUUUUUAUAGUACUUAGUUCAAAAUUUUAUAUUCUUAUUAUUCAAUUAUUAAAUAAUAGGUAAUUUUGUGACAUAGAGUAUAAAUGAAAAAAAAUUGGUAAUUAAGUUUAUUGAACAUUAUAAGUAAAUAUUUAAAACUAAUGAUGGGUAUAAAGAGUGAUAUAAAUUGAUAACUUAGUUUGCAAAAAUGAAUUUAAAUGAGUUUGCAAAAAGUUAAAAUAAAUGGGUUAUAAAUGGGUAAUUGGGUUACCCAAUUCAUUUUUUGACUUGCCUAUUUAUACCCAUAUAAUUAAAUGGGUAUAAAUGAGUUGACUCACUUAUACCCAUUACCCAUUUUACCCAACUCAAACCCGCCCAAGUCACCCAUUUUGACACCUUUAGUAUCAUCUAAUGUUCAUUUGUGAAAGAUUGAGAAAUGAUAAAGAGCAAAACACCAAUUUAUUCCAUAAAUUAUUUUGCUAAAAUCAAAAUAGUCCAUAAAUUUUCUUUUGGCCAAAUUUUUGUCAUGAACUUUCAGAAACGGUUGCAGGGGAUUUCAUCCGGAUUGCUUGUGCAGUUGAGUAACUAUACAGAAAUUCUUUUUGGGAUGCUGAGUAUCUUAGGAUGGGUACAAUGAUCGCUUAGAUCAGUAGAGAUGAUUGAUGAUGUAGUAGGGGAAGAUUCCCUUUAUAAAGCUGAUUUUCUCAUGAUUAAUAAGAAUAUAAAUGUUACCAAAUUUUCUUUUCAAAUGUGUAACGAAAAUAUUGGCCAUGAUCAGCAAGACCUCCUUAAUUAUAAAAGUUUCUUGAAUGUCAUCAUCCAAUUUGUUUAAGCGAGGAUUUUUAAAUGCUAUCUUUAAGCAAAUUGAUUUUUGUAUUAUAGAUACUUACUACUAUUACUUCAUACCUAGCUACAAACCUCAUGUAUGUUUUAGUUUUAAUCCAGAACAAAUCAGGGCCACGGGCCACCUUGCACAUAGCGAGAGUGGAAAAAUAAAACUACACAAUUGCUUUUUUGAAGCCAGUGACUCAACUGAUUUUGCGCUCGGCAAUUCAUCCGAUUUUCAUUAAAAGGGCCCUAAGAGGCCAUUGGCGUUUUGGGCCUGUGAAAAUUUGGAUGAUUUGGUGUGUCCAAUGCAUGUGUAAGCACAAAUUUUGUUGUCUAAAAUAAAAGACAAGAAAACUUACAUAAAUAUCAAAUUUAUUAAAUUAAAUAACAAGAGGGUUACAAUAUUUGAAAAUUUUUGAAUCAAAGAAAUUAAUCUCCUAAUUUUUAUCUUCAAAAGGCUUUAAUCGGAAGGCCAAAAAGGCUUGUUCUCCGAUCAAGAGGGUGUUUUCUAUGAUUUCUAUGUAAAAAACGGCUGCUUUGAUGAUGACGUUAAUAUUUGAAUCUUUAAAUCUUCAACGCCGAUGGAAGGAGGAUUUAUUUAACUUAAUUUGGAUUUGGAUUUGAAUUUGAGGGAAAAAGCUCUCAAGAGAAUUUGACAAAGUUACUUUGAAAUUUAGGAAUUUUAAUGUAUUUUUGCCUUGAGGGAAGACCUUUAUUUAGAGUCAACAUAUGCAAGCUAUGUCUUCAAGAGAAUCCUUCAAAACCAUCUUGCGUUUGGGUAACUUGUACCUUAAGAAACCCAUUUAACUUGGAGUUAAAUAGUCGGCCGACCCAAAUAGUCAAUUGUGAAUUAACAAAUCAAUUAAAUCACUUUAAUUUAAAUGGGCAUCACAUUUUUUAUUUGAUUUAAUAGCUCAUAUAACAUUGGCUCAAUUUGUCAAUCCAAAACAUAAUGAACUUCUAUAAUUUAAUUUAAUUUAAUAAAAAUCAAUUUAAUUUACUUAAUCUUGCCUAAAAAUAAAUUAAAUAAAUUUUCGUUGUCUAUGUCCCCACUUCAAAACUUGGCAAGGCAUUGCAUGUUUAUUUGAAUUAACUUAAAACUUCUUAAUACGAUUCAUCUAAGCACCUUUAUAUAUAUAUAUAUAUAUAUAUAUAUAUAUAUAUAUAUAUUUAUUUAUUUAUUUAUAUAUAGAGGUACAGAAGACAUGUCUUUGUCUUGAAACUGUGACAAACAGGACACUUAAGACAAGGGCGUGUGAAGACUAUCGCACUAUUUGAGCGAAAAAAACCUGUUUUGCACGUAUAUUUUGAAGGUAAUCAUCUUUAUUGUCUUUUGACAACUUCAUGUUGGUCGAGUAUCAGAUAUUCACCAAAUUUUGUUGAAAUUUGUCAAAACUUGAUUUGUUUCCAAUUUGGAGAAAAAAAAAGAUUUUUUUCUUCGUUUCUGCAAUUUUCCAGGUCACUCUUUCCUAUCAACAUGUUACGAUUCAGAAAUUGAGACAAAUCUUGUACAUAGGAAUCUUUUUUAACAGCUGAUGGUUGGAAUUUAGCAGACACCUUGAAGUCAAAGAAGGCAAAUAGCAUUCCAAUAGCAUUAUUUGGUUGCAUGCCAUAUCCAAGAUUUUCACUAGUAAGCCACCAUUUUCUUGCUUUUGAUUGUUAUUCAUUCUCUGUUGCGCAAUUUUAUUUUCGCACAAUCUAUUUUUUUCGUUGAAUUUUCUCUUUUGCAAAACAGCGACCACCAAGGAAAGACAGAAAGAUUUUUUUGUUUUUGUUUUUGUUUUUGUUUUUGUUUUUUUUUUUAUGGUUGCACCUUGUGUUGGCACCCCUUAUUUGAAGCAAGUUGAUGUUCCAGUUGUGUUGGGGAUUUUAGGGCCAUAGCUCUUAGAACUCAAAAUACUAAUGUAAUUUCCGCACUCCAUGACAUUUACUUCUUGUCAAUGCCAAACUCUCCUCUUUUUUUUUGUGAUAUGAAAGGAAGAUCUCUCGUUGCAACAUAUAUGGUGGACACUCAAUUUGAAAGAAGGUGCAACCACCAACUUGCACGAGAGCCAUAUCAUGGUUUGAGGAGUAUAAUGAAAAUGAUGCAACUGCAAACUCUUAUGAGAGCCAUAUCAUGGUUGAGAAGUACAAUGAAGAUAGUGCAAUCAAAAAUUUGAAAAAGGUGCAAUCGCAAACUCCCAUGAGAGCCUAUCAUGGAUUGAGGAGUACAACGAAGAAUGUGCCACAAAAAGUUGAAAAAUGUGCAAUCGCAAACUCGCACGAGAGCCUAUCAUGGUUUGAGGAGUACAAUGAAGAAGGUGCAACUACCCACUUCAAUGAGAGCUUACCAAAACUCGAGAAGCCCUUUCAUUUAACUUCACAUUGACUAUUUAUUACUUCUCUCACUGUCUUCGAUCACACCAUUGUAAUCAAAUUUUUUUCUCUUGCUUUUGGUCCUAACGAAAUGGUGAUGGUCAAGGAAGUUACAUCUUCAAACAAAAGGCACCUCCUUAUCACUAAUAGCCAUGAUGACUCUGCUGACAAAGGAACGAAAUUAUUGGUGCAUCCCUCUAUACAAGAAAUUUACUCUGGUGAUUGGUUUUCUCACAAGUAUUCCGAAUUAAAGGAUUGGUCACUAAAAUUUUCUCAAGAUGAUGGUACGAAAGUUCACUCCUUGAAAUUCCUUAUCAUAAUAAGGAGCCAAGGACAAUUGGCAGGCGAAUCCUAGAUGAGACUAAGGGUGCAAACGAGGCAAGUCGAAUCGAGUUUUGAAGUUAUUGAGUCGAGUUACACUUAUUUAUAUGCGAGCUCGAGUUCGAGGUCGAAAAAUAGAGCUCGAACUCGGCUCGAUGUAGGAAAAGGAAAACUCGAGAUCGACUCGCUUAUGGCUCGCGAGUUUAGCUCGAAUUCUGGCUCGCGAGCAGCUCGAGUUUUGCUAGAUUUUCUGGCUCGCAUGAAGCUCGAAGUCAGCUCGAUUCUAGCUCGUUAGGAGCUCCAGUUCGAACUCGAAAACAGCUCGAUUUUCUGGAAAUUUAUGCAAGAAAACAGAAUUUUUGUCCGCAUAUUUUUGAUAAAAUUUGAGCAUGAUAACAAUAAGUUUUCACAUAUUCUUGAUCUUGAGGCCUACAAAUUAUGCACUAAUACAAUCAUAAAUGUCCAAAUGUCCACUAAUACAAAUUAUCCAAAUGUCCACAAAUGUCCACUAAUACAAAUUAUCCAAAUGUCCACAAGAAGUCUGAAGAAUACCAGCUUGUUGUCCACAAAAACCAAGGCAUGACAUGAAGCGAGAAUUUCCUGACUGCGUCCUGGAACUUUACUCAUUUCUGUCUCUAAUUCCUCAUGAUCAGUUAGUCCACCAACAUUGAACAAUAUGGAUCAGGAAUGGGGAAAAAUCACUUUCUAACACUCAAGAUCACAUACAACUCAUAUCCAACAAAUAUCCUGAAGUUUCAUGAGUAUAAUCACAUUAAAAGAGAAAAGGAUACUGACAAGCAUGCUAAUCAAACUCAAGCAGAAAAGGUACUUUCUCCUUGCCGUCUCCGACAUCCCAGCCAGCAAAUGGCUGGGGUUCGUGACAGCUGUUUGGGUCCAAUCCAUCUCCGGCAACAACUAUACCUUCUCCAAUUACUCCGACGCCCUCAAAUCACUCAUGGCCCUCACUCAGCUCCAACUCAACAACCUCUCCGUCGCCAAUUGAUGUCAUUAAAGCAGAAAAUCGGCCUGAUGGCCUCCACCAGCUGCCAUCCCUAAUCCAAGAAGGUCGAGUGUAGUAUGCUUAGGACCAAAUACAGAUGGAGUUCCCAACAUCAGUUCCUUCAAGCUAGACCCACCAUCACACGGCAGCCCUAGUCCUAGGCCUACUACCAAUGAUGCACUAUCAGACUCAAUUGCCCUCCCACUCUUCGCCCGGAAAGACAGUGGUGAAAAGAGGUAAGGAGGUGGCGGCAAAGAGCGACGGGUUAGCCAAAGUUAGAAGAUCCUCUUUUUCUAGAUUUGCAAGUUUCCUACUCUAGAGACAAAAAUGUCCUUGAUAUUUGGUCGUGCAUCUUACAAGAUAAUGCUUUCCGUCAAUUUUAACCGUUGGAUUUGACGGAAGGGCCAUGAAUAUGCUAUUUUAUUAGAUCGAGAGCCAAAAUUUUACCGUUAAUUGUUGGAGGGUUAAAACUUUAUCUGGAAAAGAGUUGGAGGGCCAUUGGAACUCUUUUUCCAAAAAAAAAAAGUCACUUUUGUCAUUUGUCCGAGAACAGUUCAGGGGCCAUCUCGACAGUAUAUAUUUUUCUUACAUGCCAAGACAAUUAAUGAAAAUUGACCAAUAACACACGCACACACACGCGCACGCACACACACACACACUCUCUCUCUCUCGGUUGCUGCCAAGUCUUUCCACUGAAAAGGAAAAUUCAUAUUGUUUACAUAGAUAAAUUACCUCCAGUCCGUGGAAUGUCUUGAUGUUAGGUGAGUUCCAAUAUUUUGGUAUCAUCUAAUGUUCAUUUGUGAAAGAUUGAGAAAUGAUAAAGAGCAAAACACCAAUUUAUUCCAUAAAUUAUUUUGCUAAAAUCAAAAUAGUCCAUAAAUUUUCUUUUGGCCAAAUUUUUGUCAUGAACUUUCAGAAACGGUUGCUUCCUGCAACCGUUGGUGAGGGAUUUCAUCCGGAUUGCUUGUGCAGUUGAGUAACUAUACAGAAAUUCUUUUUGGGAUGCUGAGUAUCUUAGGGUGGGUACAAUGAUCGCUUAGAUCAGUAGAGAUGAUUGAUGAUGUAGUAGGGGAAGAUUCCCUUUAUAAAGCUGAUUUUCUCAUGAUUAAUAAGAAUAUAAAUGUUACCAAAUUUUCUUUUCAAAUGUGUAACGAAAAUAUUGGCCAUGAUCAGCAAGACCUCCUUAAUUAUAAAAGUUUCUUGAAUGUCAUCAUCCAAUUUGUUUAAGCGAGGAUUUUUAAAUGCUAUCUUUAAGCAAAUUGAUUUUUGUAUUAUAGAUACUUACUACUAUUACUUCAUACCUAGCUACAAACCUCAUGUAUGUUUUAAUCCAGAACAAAUCAGGGCCAUGGGCCACCUUGCACAUAGCGAGAGUGGAAAAAUAAAACUACACAAUUGCUUUUUUGAAGCCAGUGACUCAACUGAUUUUGCGCUCGGCAAUUCAUCCGAUUUUCAUUAAAAGGGCCCUAAGAGGCCAUUGGCGUUUUGGGCCUGUGAAAAUUUGGAUGAUUUGGUGUGUCCAAUGCAUGUGUAAGCACAAAUUUUGUUGUCUAAAAUAAAAGACAAGAAAACUUACAUAAAUAUCAAAUUUAUUAAAUUAAAUAACAAGAGGGUUACAAUAUUUGAAAAUUUUUGAAUCAAAGAAAUUAAUCUCCUAAUUUUUAUCUUCAAAAGGCUUUAAUCGGAAGGCCAAAAAGGCUUGUUCUCCGAUCAAGAGGGUGUUUUCUAUGAUUUCUAUGUAAAAAACGGCUGCUUUGAUGAUGACGUUAAUAUUUGAAUCUUUAAAUCUUCAACGCCGAUGGAAGGAGGAUUUAUUUAACUUAAUUUGGAUUUGGAUUUGAAUUUGAGGGAUAAAGCUCUCGACAGAAUUUGACAAAGUUACUUUGAAAUUUAGGAAUUUUAAUGUAUUUUUGCCUUGAGGGAAGACCUUUAUUUAGAGUCAACUUAUGCAAGCUAUGUCUUCAAGAGAAUCCUUCAAAACCAUCUUGCGUUUGGGUAACUUGUACCUUAAGAAACCCAUUUAACUUGGAGUUAAAUAGUGGUCCGACCCAAAUAGUCAAUUGUGAAUUAACAAAUCAAUUAAAUCACUUUAAUUUAAAUGGGCAUCAUAUUUUUUAUUUGAUUAAAUAGCUCAUAUAACAUUGGCUCAAUUUGUCAAUCCAAAACAUAAUGAACUUCUAUAAUUUAAUUCAAUUUAACUAAGAUCAAUUUAAUUUACUUAAUCUUGACUAAAAAUAAAUUAAAUAAAUUUUCGUUGUCUAUGUCCCCACUUCAAAACUUGGCGAGGCAUUGCAUGUUAAUUGCUGGAGGCAAGACUUGAAGUAUUAAUUUUACUGCUGACCUAAAGUCAAACUAAAUUAAAGACUUCAAGCGUUCGGCAUACGGGUGAUCCACUUUUUUUUUUUUUUUUUUUUUUUCCUUUUUCUUUGGGAAGAGAAUGGUCCACAUCAAUUGUAGAAUUGCACCUCAAAGUCCAAUUGAAUAGGCAACGGUCACGGGUCUUCACUUUCACCUACUACUUGAAUAAAGCCUUGAAGCUCUUGAAUUUUCCAACUCUUAAUUUAGUCGUCAAUGGAAGUGCAGCCCCACAAUAUUAGACCGCAACUUUGACCCGUAGAAUUAGAAACCCCCGUUUGAUUAUGCGAUGUGGGCUCCUGCGCAGAAACUCCCAUAUGCUGAAAUUUGGAGUUUGCUCGUACGUUUCUGACCACCAAAUCUUGUUUUGGCACUUGGCAAUAUGGAAUUUGCUGAGUUUCAACGCUUCCUAAACGGAACUUUAAUGUAUUUCCAAAACCAAUGUUUGCAACUUCUGAAUAAGAAUAUGCCAAAUUUUAAGAGCUUCCCAAAUUGACUUCCAGCCAUUGAAAUUAUUCUUGGGAACCAAAUUCAAAUGAUUUCCAAAAAGUUAAACGAUAAUCACUGAAUUUAGUAUCUGUCCAAAACUUAAAACUUCUUAAUAUGAUUCAUCUAAGCACCUUUAUAUAUAUAUAUAUAUAUAUAUAUAUAUAUAUAUAUAUAGGUACAGAAGACAUGUCUUUGUCUUGAAACUGUGACAAACAGGACAUUUAUGACAAGGGCGUGUGAAGACUACCACGCUAUUUGAGGGAAAAAAAACCUGUUUGACACGUAUAUCUUGAAGGUAAUCAUCUUUAUUGUCUUUUGACAACUUCAUGUUGGUCGAGUAUCAGAUAUUCACCAAAUUUUGUUGAAAUCUGUCAAAACUUGAUUUGUUUCUAAUUUGGAGAAAAAAAAAGAUUUUUUUCUUCGUUUCUGCAAUUUUCCAGGUCACUCUUUCCUCUCAACAUGUUACGAUUCAGAAAUUGAGACAAAUCUUGUACAUAGGAAUCUUUUUUAACAGCUGAUGGUUGGAAUUUAGCAGACACCUUGAAGUCAAAGAAGGCAACUAGCAUUCCAAUAGCAUUAUUUGGUUGCAUGCCAUAUCCAAGAUUUUCACUAGUAAGCCACCAUUUUCUUGCUUUUGAUUGUUAUUCUUUCUCUGUUGCACAAUUUUAUUUUCGCACAAUCCAUUUUUUUUCUUUGAAUUUUCUCUUUUGCAAAACAGAGACCACCAAGGAAAGACAGAAAGAUUUUUUGUUUUUGUUUUUGUUUUUGUUUUUGUUUUUGUUUUUUUUUUUUAUGGUUGCACCUUGUGUUGGCACCCCUUAUUUGAAGCAAGUUGAUGUUCCAGUUGUGUUGGGGAUUUUAGGGCCAUAGCUCUUAGAACUCAAAAUACUAAUGUAAUUUCCGCACUCCAUGACAUUUACUUCUUGUCAAUGCCAAACUCUCCUCUUUUUUUUUGUGAUAUGAAAGGAAGAUCUCUCGUUGCAACAUAUAUGGUGGACACUCAAUUUGAAAGAAGGUGCAACCACCAACUUGCACGAGAGCCAUAUCAUGGUUUGAGGAGUAUAAUGAAAAUGAUGCAACUGCAAACUCUUAUGAGAGCCAUAUCAUGGUUGAGAAGUACAAUGAAGAUAGUGCAAUCAAAAAUUUGAAAAAGGUGCAAUCGCAAACUCCCAUGAGAGCCUAUCAUGGAUUGAGGAGUACAACGAAGAAGGUGCCACAAAAUGUCGAAAAAUGUGCAAUCGCAAACUUGCACGAGAGCCUAUCAUGGUUUGAGGAGUACAAUGAAGAAAGUGCAACUACCCACUUCAAUGAGAGCUUACCAAAACUCGAGAAGCCCUUUCAUUUAACUUCACAUUGACUAUUUAUUACUUCUCUCACUGUCUUCGAUCACACCAUUGUAAUCAAAUUUUUUUCUCUUGCUUUUAUUGCAAGUUGGUCCUAACGAAAUGGUGAUGGUCAAGGAAGUUACAUCUUCAAACAAAAGGUACCUCCUUAUCACUAAUAGCCAUGAUGACUCUGCUGACAAAGGAAUGAAAUUAUUGGUGCAUCCCUCUAUACAAGAAACUUACUCUGGUGAUUGGUUUUCUCACAAAUAUUCCGAAUUAAAGGAUUGGUCACUAAAAUUUUCUCAAGAUGAUGGUACAAAAGUUCACUCCUUGAAAUUCCUUAUCAUAAUAAGGAGCCAAGGACAAUUGGCAGGCGAAUCAUAGAUGAAGACACACACUGGGGUGCUUCCUUGAGAUUUAGUGAUGAAUUUGGUUAUAUCGAGAAUUAUUAGGAGCGGUUGGAAGAUAUUUUUGGAAAAAACAAACAAGUGUUUCGUGAAAAUUACUUGUUCGAUGUCUUAUAUGCUUCGCUUCUCAUAUAUAACAAAAAUUCUCAUGUGUUUAGAGCAUUUUGCGAGACAUGGUGCCUAAACACUAAUACCUUGCAUAUGUCAAUUGGAGAAUUAUCUCUCUCACUUUGGGAUCUGUGUAAAUUAGAAGGACUUCCAAUCAUCGGAUACAUCUAUGAAGAGGCGAUCCCAUGUGUAGAGGAACUAACUGGAGUUAAUGAAAAGAAGUUGAUGCAUAUUCCGCAAAAUUGUGAGUAUUUGUUCGCGGCUCUGCACUACCUUCAACAUGGAGAAUACUACAAUUAUGGAGUUUCUGCUAGCCAAUAGAUUAACUUUUGGUUUAAAGGCAACGUGAGGUAUUCAAAACCAAAACAGAGAAGGAUAAAGAGAGCAUCUAGUGCUUAAGCAACCCAAAAUCCAGAUGGAAAGAUUGGACAACCACGUAAUUUUUAAUUCAAGACAAUGGCAUAUAUGAUACCAUUGGAGACAAGUCUCACUUACGAGAAGAGACUUAUCUUGUAGCAUUUAUAUCUUGUUGACUCUACGUUUUUACUCUACCAGAUGAGGACGUCUAUUAUAUUAGACUAUCUACCUUCAAAAUGGCUAGCAUGAUGGCUGUCGGAUAUAAAACUUGCCUUGCUGUUCCUGUCUUGCUGAGUAUCUAUCACGGAUUCAAUAAAAUUUCAAAUUCAUCUACUCCAAGGUGUGCGCGUGCAUUUUUUUCAAUGCACUACGUGUAUGCUUAACUGGCGAGUUAUUUCUCUACCCAUUAUUCAACUCCGAAUAUCAUGCCUGGACCAACAAUUAUCAAUUAUUCUGGAAAGGGUGUGCACAAUAUUUUGAUGAAAAUAGUGCUUGCGACCUCAUUCAUCAAGGAGACAAAGUAACUUGGGGGACAACUUCUCUUGUGAAGAAUUAAAAUGAAUUUUUUGUUGAUGAUGGCAAGUUAGCGAACCCAGAACUGAUUUAUUUCGUAAGUGCUUGCUCAAAUUAUUUAGUCUUACAUGCUGAAGGAGAUUUUCUUGUUGAGCCAUACAGGUUUGCAAGGCAAUUCGAAUUUUAUCAAAACACCCCACAAGAACUGGGAGCAGAUGUUCAUUCUACAAAUUAUGACUUGAGUCAAAUACUUUGACACAUUGCUAUUCAUAAUAAGACAGAGUCGAAGGUAUUUUUUUCUAGUUACCCCUUGAAUGCUAACAAGCAUAUAUCUCCAGAUUUUCAAACAUGAUGUUUUGAUUAAGAGUGUCCAACCAAAUUUGAAACAGAAGAAAUCGAAAGGAAAGAAACUUGCAAAUUUGAAUAAUCCUGUCAAGGUUGGCAGUAAUCUUGAGGCGAAACAGAAAAUCACCAAGACUGUGAGGAUUGAGGAGAAAGCAUUGCAGAGCUCCAGCAACUCGUGAAAUUCUAAUUUUCAAUGAAGAAUUUUCGAAUGGUAAUUCAUUUUGUCUUCCUUCAAUAAUUGUAAAAGCCACCAAUCAUGAGUCUCGCAAUUCCAAUGAAAAGAAGAGGAGCAACUCUUUUGAUGAGAAGGAUGAGCAAUCUACUAGUACAGACUAGCACUAGAAGCAUAAGAAAUUCAAGGUAAUGACUUUCUCUUUGGAUGAUAUUGUUUUAGACCCUAAAGAAAUGUUUAAGGACAUUCUGGACAAAUAUGUGCUUGGUAUAAGUCAUGCCAAUAUUAUAAGAACAUUCUCUUGCCUUCUUUAGUUUGGCAUUUGAAAUUUACUUAUCAAUUUCAUAUUCAUGAUAUGUCUCAUAACAUUUUCCAUGUAGUUGAAUGAUCAAAACUUGAUUUUUAUUAAUGAUGGGAAAUCAAGCUAAGAAUUCGUUGAAGGACCCACUAUAUUUUAACUUUUAACAAAACAAGUGGUCAAUUCUACUCAAUAAAAGGGCAUCAUUGAAAAUUUCAAAAAGGCAGUGCAUGAUGAAAAUUCAGUUCAACAAAUCAUGCUACAGAAGAAAGAACAUGUGACUUCACCGGAGAAAAAAAAGUUCAAAAUUUUUGAUCCACAACCGUAGCCAAGGGCACCUCAAGUGUCUGAAUUUUGCCCCCAAACUAUGAUCUUAACAUGUCAUCGAGAUUACAUUCAAAUGCUCUGAAAUAAUUUGAAGGUGCUGAUAUCCGAAACAAUCCUGGAACGCAUUUCUGCUCUUAAGAUGAAAGCAAAUGAAAUCAUGGAGGAAAUGCAAAGUUUCAAUGCUAUGAAUAUUUCAAACUUGUAAGGCCUUUUAAAGCCUUUCUUUACAAAACCAAUUCGUUCUGUCGUAAUAAAGUCUUCUUUCUCAAAUAAAAUUUCAAUUGAAUCAUAUAAUGAGUUGUUUUCUAUAGCUACCCAACAUCUUAGAGAUGCUCAGAGUAAGGAGAAAUAAUAACUUAAAAAGUUCUCAACGUACAUGUUAAAAUUUAAAGAGAUUGACCAUGAGAAAAUAGAGCUAAGGAAAUGACUUGAAUCUAUGGGUACUCAUAGGAUGGAAAUACUUUCACUGCUACGAAAGAAACAAGACGAGCUUACCUAAAUGCAAGGCAAGAUGAUCAACUUAUGAAAUGAAAUUCAAAAGAUUGAAGAUUCCCUAUCUUUACUUGUUGAGGAGAGCCAAACAUUGAACAAAAUGCAAGCACUACUUGAAAGCAACUGCAAAAAACUGUCAUCAUUUGAACUUUAGAAUUAGUUACAAUCUUUUACUUUUUUCAAAUUUUAUUUAUUGUCACUUGCCUAUAUUAUAUAGCCACAGGCAUAAUUAAUUUUUUAUUUCACCAUGAAUCAUGAUUUUUUUUAUUUCAUGAUACUCUUGUGGAUAUUUCUUACUUUCCUUUGUUGCUUUCAUUAACCACCAUUUUAGACUAUCGAUUGCAAAAUAAACAAUUCAACAUUUGCAUAAUUUUAAUCACAUUUGAAGAGGUAAUUGUCUACAUAAUUUGAUAAUUUGAACAAUAUACUUUCAGGUGUAUGUUGCAAAGUAAUUUGAAUUGCCCUAAAGAGAAAAACUUUUUAUCUUUUAUUGCAUGACAUCUUUAUGGGGUUGUAACUGAAUUUCGAAGUUACCAUCUAAACUGUUUGCAUAUCCCAAAAGGGAAUAAAUUCACGUGUAGUUCCUACCAUCCACAGUUUAAUUUCUUGCAGGUCAGGAGUAUCUAUUUGCUUAUCACUUUAAACUUGGUGGAGUGUUUUAGUAGUUUAACCAUAUACUACACUAUUGGUGAUUGCCGUCCACAGUUUUAACUCAUAUGGACCAAGAGCAACAUGCAGUUUAGACUCAUGUGUCAUGAAACAACAUGCAGUUUAGGGUCAUGCGUCAUGUUGUCCUUUAUUUUUUUUAUGGCGUGUAUAAUCUUAAGAAAUUUUCAUUUAUGGGUCAACAUUUACACCAUUUUGUCAACUACCUUGUACGCGUUAUUUGUAUAAACAUUUCGGAUAAUAUAUGGUCCAUCCUAUUCGGAGACAAAUUUAUCUUUAGCAUGAUGAGUCAUAACUAUUGAUUUUCGAACGGCGAACACUAUGUCACCAAUUUGAAAGGAAUGAUGAUGAUAGCUUUAGAAAGGUAAGCCUGGUAGCAUUCAAGAUUUUGUUGAGUUUCCAAUUCCUUUUCAUCUAAAGUUUCUAAUUCUUUAAGAAGCAAGCAAAUAUUUUCUUUCUCCAUGAGCCCUUAUUGGAUGGCAAUUCUCAGAGAAAGAAUUUGUUGUUCAAGAAGCAAGACAACUUCUACACCAUAAACUAAGGCAUCAGGGGUGGCUUGCAUUGGAAUUCGAUAUGUGGUGCGAUAAACGCAGAGAGUUUCACCUAUCAUUUCAUGCCAAUCCUUCUUUGAUCUGGCCAUCACUUUUUUCAACAAGUUGCAUAGAGUUUUAUUGAAUGCCUAAACAAUACUGUUGGCAGGGACAUUAUACAUAAAGGACUUGCGAUGUUUGAAUUUAAAUUUCUCACACAACCUAUCCAUUAAACAGUUGAAGAAGGGUUUCCAUUAUCAGUGAUAAUGUGUUAGAGAAUUUCAUAACGAUAAAUAAUAUUUACACGAAUGAAAUUCACCAUAUCUUCUUUUCUCACUUGAGUGGUAUAGUUUCAUCCCAUUUAGAGAAGUAGUUGGUUGUAACCAAUAUAUAUAGAUGUUGUCCGAACGACUUAGGCAAUGGUCCAACAACAUUAAGGUCCCAGGCAUCAAAAGGCUAAGAAGUAAUAGUCAAAUGUAAUAGUUCGGGUAAUUGAUGAAUGUAAUUUGCAUAGAAUUGACAAGUUUGACACCUUUGAGCGUAUUCCAUACAAUCUUUGACCAUAGUAAGGCAAUAAUAGCCCAUCAUUUUAAUCCAAAAAUGCAACUUGGGACCGAAUUGGUGAGUUUGACAUAUUUCAAAAUGUGCCUCUUGCAUAGCUUGAUAUUCAUUAUCUUCAUUCAGACAGCGCAAGAAUACACUUUCAAAUGAUUUUUGAUAUAGCGUAUCUUUGUAUAAGAUGAAACGGGGGCACGACAAUAGAUAUCAAAUCUUUUAUGUUGCUCCUUAGGUACCUUUUGAUACUUGAUAUAAUUGAUAACAGGUUGUCUCCAAUCUUCUUUAUCAACUUCAUAAGUUGAGACGACAUAAGCAUCACCUUCCUCAAUAUUUUCAUUAUCAAAUAAUGGUGAAACUAUCCACUUUUGAUACACACGAACUUGUAUUUCAUAAUUUGACAUAGUCAGAGAAGAAGCAAGCAUAGCUAAUGCAUGAGUUUGCUUAUUUUCUCUUUUAGGGACAUGUUCAAUACUUGUACCUUCAAGUUACCUUAUAAGUUGCGUUGCAUUCUUGUGAUAUGGAAUUAAUUUAAAUUUUUUAACAUCAUAAUUUCCCAAGGGUUGACUAACGACUAAUUGUGAGUUGCCAUAGAUUUGAAACUCAAAUUAUUUCAUGUCAAUAGUUAUUUCAAGUCCGAAUAUGAGGGUUUGAUACUUAACGACAUUAUUUGAACAACGUUGAUUUAGAAUAAAGGAGUAUGGCAAAACUUCUUCAUCAGAUGUUGUAAAUACAAUUUUGACUCCAACUCCAUGACGAUGAGUAGCAGAUUUCAAUAAGGAGUACAUUUUUAUUUGGUAGAUCAUCACUUAACUCCCAUUCAACAAGUAUCGGGUGAUCAAUAAGAAAAUCUACUAGUACUUAACCCUUCACGGCCUUUUGGAAUACAUAAAUAAUUUUAAAUUAUUGUAACUAGGUACCAUUUAGCUAGACAGUUGGAUAGUGUUGGUCUACUUAUCACGUAUUUUAUGAAGUUUGCCUUGAAGAUGAGUCUCACACUGUGUGCUUGAAAGUAGUGUUUUAACUUCUAUAUUAUAAAAAUAAGAGUUAAACACAACUUUUCAAUCGGUGAGUAGUUUAAUUUAUUAGAGAUCAUCAUAAAUAAUAAAGGGCAGUUUCUUUCACUUCAUUAUUUUCUUGUGCAACCAAUACCUCCACUAAACGUUCUUGGGUAACAAUGUAAAGAAUUAAUGGCUUUCUAUAAAUAGGUUCAAUCAAGACAGAUGCCUUCAUGAGAUAAGAUUUAAUGCUAUUGAAUGUAUUGCUGUACGCUUCAUUCCAUUGGAAUGGUACACCUUUCUUCAUAAGGUGAUUAAAUGGUUGACACCUUUCAAUUAAAUUUGAGAUAAACCUCCACAGAUAGGUUAAUCGCUCUUGAAGGCUUUUUAUUUCUGAAUAUUGCGAGAUUCAGGCAUUCUCAAUAUAGCAUCAAUGUUGACUCGAUCAAUUUUAAUACCUCGAUGACAGACCACAAAAUCAAGAAACUUUCCUGAUGUAACUCUAAAUGCACAUUUGAGAGGAUUCAAUUUGAGUUGAUAUAUUUUCAACCGAUCAAAAUUUUGUUUCAAAUCCUCCAAGUGAUUAUUUCUUUUUUUUUUUAUUUAACAACCAAAUCGUCCAUAUAACAUUUAAUAUUUUUAUGAAGCAUGUCAUCAAAAAUAUUUUACAUUAAUCUUUGAUAUGUAGUUUUGAUAUUUUCAAACUAAAGGGUAUUAUGUUAUAACAAUAAAUACCCUUAGGAGUAUGAAAUCUAGUGAGUUAUUUAUCCUCAGGUGUUAUUCGAAUUUGAUUAUAGUUAGAAAAGCUAUCCAUAAACGACAAACCCUCAGACCCAAUAAUUGCAUUAAUCAUGAGUUUGGUGAUGGGUAGAGAAAAAUCAUCUUUGGAACAAGCACUGUUAAGAUCCCUAAAAUUUACGUAGAUGUGAAUUUGCCUGUUCUUCUUUCGUACAGACAUGAUAUUUGAAAUUCAUGUGAAAGACUUAAAUUCAUGAAUAAAUCCAUCAUCAGUGAAUUUAUUGAUUUCAACUUCGAUCAAAUAGACCAAAUCGGGUCUAAAUCACCAUUGUACUUACAUUACAGGUCGAACUCCCUUUUUAAUAGGUAAAUGGUGGACUGCUACUUUUGAAUUUAGACCUAACAUUUCUUUAUAAGUUCAUGUAAAAAUAUCUUGAUACUCUUGCAAGAACUCAACAUAUGUCUUCUCUUCAUCAGAAUUCAAUAAAGCACUUACCUAUAUAGGAUAUGGGUCCUGUGAAGUGCCAAAAUUGAUUUUUUAAGUCAUCUACAGUGGCCUUAACGCCUUGUUCAAAUUCAGGUGAAGCAUCUUCAACAUCUUCUUCUUCUCCAAGGGAAUUAUUAUCAAAUAUGGUUAUAUGGUUGUAUGAAACAAUACUUUCUUCAUCAUCUUCCUUUGAUCUUGUUUCUACAAUAGUAUGCUCUCUAACCUUUAGUUCAGUCCCAUAAAUUAUUAUAAGAUUUGUACAUCUCCUCAUUCUUGAGAGAAUAAUGUUACCAAACUUAUAAAUGUUAUGGGGACAAUCAAAAGAUUCUUCAAAUUCUUUCAGUGAUUUUGUCAUUCUCCAUUUAUUCUUAUGAGAAUUUUGAGACUUUUAUUUUCUUUGUGGUCCUAGUCUUUUGAAGACGAAUACUCACAGAGCCUUAUCCCUAUUUUUAUGAAAAACGUGUGACUUAUUGACUAUUUUAGAAGAUUCAUCUCUUAUAGCAAUAAAUUGACUACCAGCUCUAUUGAUUUUGAUGCGAAUUGGUACAGGUGAAAAAUAGUAAAGAUCAGAUUUAGAAUUCUUAACAGCAUAUCCUUUCCCUUUCAACAUCUUUUGAGUAAGGUUUAACCCAUAAGUCACAUCGCUAGUGGCUUGAGGAGGUUUCAAUACCAGAGAUUUCUUGAAAUCAUACCCAAUUUUGGUAAGAAGUUUAUAAGCAAUAUAAUCAAAAGCUUCAUUAAUUCUUGACGUCAGUAGCAUAUCUUGCUUGAUGUCAAACUCUUUAUUAAGAUGAUCAAACCCUUUGAUUAAAGGCGAUGGUAUAUUCGUAGCAUCAAGUUUAGCCACAGGAAGAGUUAAUCCUUUCAGAGUUUUGUGUGGAAUUGAAGAUGGUUGUCCUUGUCCCAAUCUUGACUUGGGAGGGUAUCCGAAGACAACUGAUUUAUUUUUUAACAAUGAGGCAUCAAUUUUUUUAUGAACUACCUCUUUUGAUUUUGGAAUCACCACUUUCUUCGUUUUGCACUUGAUGAUUCGAGAUCUUGGAUUUUAACCAUAGAUGGAGAUUGUUUAAACUCAUUCUUUAUGUUAUACUGAUUUAUUUUUUAACAAUGAGGCAUCAAUUUCUUUCUGAACUACCUCUUUUGAUUUUGGAAUCACCACUUUCUUCCUUUUGCACUUGAUGAUUCGAGAUCUUGGAUUUUAACCACAGAUGGAGAUUGUUUAAACUCAUUCUUUAUGUUAUAUUUUUGGAUAUAAAAUUUAGCAUUAGCGAUAUGCAUUUCUACUUCAGUGUAAAGAUUAUAAUCAGUUUUCACACUUUUUACCACUCCAUUUCGGUAAUACUUGAAAUAUUGGUGAAGAGUUGAAAGCACAACCCCAUUUUCAUGAAUCCAGGGUCUUCCCAGUAGCAUAUUAUUUAUUGUUUUAGUAUCUAUUACAUACAGUUGUGCUUUAGACAAUAUAUCAUCGAUAACUAUCUCUAAAUUUAACGAUCCAAUAGCUCUUUGCCCUCCUUGAUUAAGGUCUUGUAUUAUUAGUCAGCUUAUUGGAAAGUUUAUCAAUGGAGAUGCCAAAUUCCUUUAGAGUUUUUAAGACAAGGCUAUUGACAGCAGAACCUCUCUCUAUCAAAAUUUUAUUCACAUUUUAUUUUUUAGCAUAAACAGUUACAAACAAAGGACGGUUAUGUGAUGUUGACCCAAAAAACAAGUUGAUAGGGUGUUAAUUGUUAGUAAUUUUAUUGCUAUUUUUCCCCUUUGUCCUUGCCAAAUAUUAUUUUAAUUGUUAACAUAUACUUAUUUUUGGUAUUUGGACCAAUCUACAGGAAGUGGAACUGACAAAUGCUAAAAAGGAGAUUUUAUUGAGAAAAAUCCUUCACAUGCUAGAGCCUCCAGCGGAUAUACAAGUUGGGCCCACAUGGUGUUACAAAUUCGGUUGCUGAUGGGGAGCUCUUAUUAUUGGGAGUUGACUUGUACGUGUAGGAGUCCUCCUACCAAGAGGAAACAAGAAAAAAGGAAUUCGGCAGAGGCCCAUCUUUUGUACUUAGCUUUCUCAAUUCGGUAGGGACCAUGGACUAGAGGUUUUCAUUAGUGAUUGGACUUUAAAAGGGAAGAAACGUAUAGAGGCUUGGGGAUUAUUAUGAUUAGCGUAGCUUUAGUUUUAGUGGUUAGCUAGCGUUUCCUUUUCAUGCGCACGAGGUGCUCGACAAUAUUUUUCAACGGGAAAAAAAAACAUCUUUUACUCUUGCUUUCUAGUGAAAAACUUGAUGCCUUUGCAAUCAAUUAAUUUGCGUGGAGAUUUAAUUAUGCGGCGUGGCUAAGCCUUUUAUCUAGUCAAGGAUCAACUCGACGGCGCAGUCCCAAAUAUCUGUGAGAUCUAAUUAGUUUUCACGCGUUUCUUAAUUUGUUAAUAUUUGCAUGUUGCCUAUUUGAAUUUCCACGGGAUUAUUUUGUUAAUUGGAUAUCAAGAGCCCGAUGUUCAAUGUGACUUAUUAAUUUCCUGCCAAAUUAGUCAAUUAAAUCCGUAAUUGUUUGAUUGAUUAAUAUUAGUAGCAACUGACAUGUUUACACACUAGAAGAACGUGCAAUCUAAUUUAAAUAACCCUCGUAGCGUGUUAUUGAUUGGGAUUAGAUUUUUCUAGUUAUUAAUGCAAUUGGGAAAUUAAUUCAUACAGUUGUACCUAGGAGUAUUUUCUGGUUAGGAGUAAUCAUUGGUCGUACCUUGGUUAUCAAUAAAUUAAGGAAAAAUUGGUCGUUAGAAUUCGUCGGCGACUAUAACUAGCCUAUUAAUAAAUUAAGUGAACCUCCCUUGCAUCAAUGAUCGGGUAAGUGGACUGUGUCUGAGUAGUUGUAUUCUUAACUAAAAUUUAUCUAUUCUUGAUUUAAUUCCUGCCUAUAUUCGUGCUAAUUAAUUAUUUAUUUUUAGUGAAUUGCUUAAUUAUUUUUAGUUUUACUCCAAUAAAAUUCCUCUUUACCAAUUGGAAUCUCAAAAAGACAAAUAUUCUCAGUCCCUGAAGAGACGACCCUACUUGCCAUUGUCUACUAUUUAGUAAGUUUUGUCAACUAAUUAAUUUUGGUAUAUCGGAUUAAGCAAAUUUUUCGGGAACAGGGUGAAUUAAGUAACCUAUUGCACAUCUAGAGUCCCGGCUCUAAUAUCUAGGAUUCAUUAUUGACUGCUUUUAGUGGUAUUUAGGUUAUUAUUAUUAUUAUUGCACAGUCUCGACACCUGUCAAUUUUUGGCGUCGCUGCCAGGGACUGGCGUUAAUUAUUUGUUUUUUUAAGUUCAAUUUUGUUCUAAUUUUCUGGUAUUUUUUCUAAUUUAUGCAUCAUUCUUCUCGUAUAAGUGAAUUAAUUUUCGACCCUGAAGUAGAGAAGAUCGCGCGUAGAACGAGAAAAGAAACCAGACAAUUCAGAGAAGAGCACUCAAGUACUACAUCUCAGAGACUUGAGCCGGAAGUUGAACCGGCAAAUUCGUUUGGUAACACUUCGAGUGACUCGGAUCAAGAGAAACUCACCAUGGCAAAUGCACAAACAUUAAGGGAGUUGGCUGCUUCUAAUUUAAAUCAACAGCCUUUAUGCAUUGCUUUCCCAAGUUUGAAUGAUGACACCCUCUUUGAACUAAAAUCUGGUCUAAUUCAUCUCUUGCCAUCUUUUCAUGGUUUACCAGGUAAGGAGCCCUACAAACAUUUACAAGAGUUUGAUGUUGUUUGCAACAGUAUGAAACCCCCGGGAAUCACAGAAAAGCUGAUAAAAAUGAGGGCCCUCCCCUUCUCUUUGAAGGAUUCAGCGAAAGAUUGGCUAUACUACCUACCACCAGGUAGUAUCACCACGUGGGACCAGUUGAAAAAAAAAUUCUUAGACAAAUAUUUUCCUGCGUCUCGGGCCGCCAGCUUAAGGAAAGAGAUAUGCGGUAUCAAACAACACCCAGGCGAGUCUCUCUAUGAGUACUGCGAGAGGUUUAAGAAGCUGUGUAUCAAAUGCCCUCAGCAUCAGAUAAGUGAGCAACUGCUCAUCCAAUAUUUCUAUGAGGGACUACUCUUCACGGACUGGAGCAUAAUCGAUGUUGCCAGUAAAGGGGCGCUAGUGAACAAGACCCCUCGAAAAUCUUGGGAGUUGAUUGAGGGGAUGGCUGAAAAUUCACAGCAGUUUGGUGGGCAGUGGCGAUGGCGAAGGCUCGCGGGGGUGGAAGAGCCGUUGGCGCGACUGGGGCCGCGCGGCUGCUAGAAUCUAGUUGCAUCAGUCUCUGUGGUCCUUGGGAUCUUUGAUUCGGCUGUUCCAUAGCUUGUCGAUCCUUUGUUGCAUCCCUGUAGGCAUUGUAAUUCCUGUUGAUUGAGUUGUUAUCUAGUUUUUGAGGGCACCUCUAGUAGUUCCUUUAUUUGGGAGUUAUUUGGGGUUGAGUUGGGAGUUAUUGGCCAAUUGAUUCCUAUUUUGCUUUCGUCCUGUUUCUGGUACUGUAUGGUUUUGAUUGGGGGGUGUCUCAGUGGUUUGGGUUGCCUGUUUGAAUUGGUUCUUACCUGUGUGUGCACCAGUGGUACUGGUUGUGUUGGGAAUCCGUGACUGAUUUGUUCUUGUCCAAUUGAAGCCAUUUUGAGCAAUUUUGGGGUGAACACAUUUUGUCAUUAAUUGUUGAUUGUUGGGGGACGUUUUUGGUAACACUUGAGUUGAUAGGGUGUUAAUUAUUGGUUAUUUUAUUAUUAAUCUCCCUUUUUAUUCUUGCCAAAUAUUGCUUAAUUGUUAAUAUUUACUCAUAUUUGGUAUCUGGACUUAAUUUCAGGAAUGAAGUAGAAAACUACCAAAAAGGAGGGAUUUUAUGGAGAAUAUGGAAACUUCUAAGGGCUUCAAUUCUUGGGCCCUUGAAUUGGUGGGGACCACAAGCUAGUGAAAGGCAUUUAGUCAUUUGAGCUCUUCAAAAGAAGCUACGUAUAUUUUAUUUUAUUUUAUUUUAUUUAUUUUAUUUAUCUCUUAUUUUUUUUUAUAUAGUUUAUGGCUUCUAACACUUCGUAUUUUGGUGAUAUACUGGAUUUUGUUUCCGGGAAAGGCAAUGUGACUAGUUUUUUUGCUAAGUCUGCAUAUGCAGAGGCACUAAACUCUAUUAGAGAAAGAAUGGCUGCUGCAACCUGUAAAAUUUGUUAUACCAGGGAUCAUUCAACCGGUAUGUGCCCCGAAUAUCAAGAUAAUCUGAGUGUCCCAUUCGAUAAUUAUGGAGAAUUUUCACCCUGGUCUCAAACGUGGUACGACCCUAAUCCAAACGGGUAUGAUCAAGGAUGGUGGGAUAACUCCAAUUAUAAUUAUACAACGGGACCAAUGAAUUUUCAGCAGUAUGAGUCUCAAGAAUCGUCAUCUAUGUCAGGUAUGUCUCUUGAAGAAAUAGUUGAACCAAUAGCUACUAACACAUACCAAUUCCAACAGGAGACACAAAUGAGGAAUGAGAUGAUGAAGGAUGCAAUGAGUUAUCUGGCAGAUCAACUAUGUCUAUUGACAUCCAGAAUAAAUCGAUGGGCUUCUCAAAUGGAAGAACUGCCCUCGAAAACCAUUGUUGACCUAGAAGAAAAUGAGAGUGCAAUUUGCUUGACUAGUGAUGAGGAGAUGCAAGAGUGUCAAAAUGAAAAAUCUACAGAUACAGUUGAAAAAGAAGCCGAAAAGGAAGAAAUGGAACCCCAACCGCAACCCAUUCAAGUGAAAGAAUCCAGUGAAGAAUCAUCAAAUGUGGUGACACCACCUCCAUUCCCUAACCCGCAUUUUUUCUAACUCUUACUCUAUGAUUUCUGUUAAUGAGAUUGAUUUUGUUAUACCGGAAGUUUUUGAGUCUCAUGGCAGAAAUAAGUUGAGAGUGGAGAUGGCGAAAUAUCUUGAACCGUUGAAUGCUCUUGAUGGAGGAAUGGAUGAAGAAUUGCGAUCAAUGCUUGAUUAUGUGGCGCCAUCAACUAGUCCAUGGAAGCCCGUGGUUCGUGUGCUCAAAGAUUACUCCAUCUAUGAGGGUUACCAGGAUCAUAUUGAAGAUGAAGCAUUGAAGCGAGCUACAAGAUUUUAUCCUCCAUGAACAAGACAUAACAAUGUCUAGCCAAAGACAUUAAAGAAAGGCGUUUUUUGGGAGGCAACCCAAAUAUUGAUUUUAUUAUUUUUAGUUGUUCAAUUCUUUCGUUCUGUUGUUUCUCAUUUGGAUAGUAGUUGGUCUUGAUAUUUUUCUCCACUGUGAUCAGGAAGUGAAAUCUUGGCGUGCCCACGCGGUGUUUAGGUCUCCUGAGAUCAGAGGACGAACACCAAUCUUGGCGUGCCCACGCGGUGUUUGGGUCUCCUGAGGUCAGUGAAUGUUUUGUAAUCUUGGCAUGCCCACGCGGUGUUUGACGACCCAAAACAUGAAAAAAAAAAAGUUUCAAAAUUUCACAUUGAGAAAAUUCAAAAAUUCAAAAGGCAUUUUUCUUUUUCUUCAAAAAUUCAAAUUUUGGAAUUUCAAAUUCAGGAAAAAAUUUGAAAAAAAAACAUUGAGAAAAAAAAACCCAAAAAGAAAAAAUUAAGAUUCAAAAAAAAAAAAAAACUAUUUUUUUUUCUCUCUUUUUCUUUUUCUCUUUUCUUUUUCUUUUUUCUUUUCUUCUUUUUUCUUUCUUUCUUCCUUCACCACCGCAGCAGCUACCCCACGCGACUCUCCUCCGCCUACCCCAGCGCACAGCCCAGGCCACGCGCUCCCUCCUUCCUGCAGCCCGUCGACGAAGCCCACCAGCCACCACCAGCAGGCCGCGGCUCCUUCCCCCUUGCGCGGCCACAGCUCGCGAACCACCUCUCCCACAGCGCGCGGCCUUCUCCCUUAUCUUUUGGCCGCGCGUCAUUGGCUCGCCCAAGGGCAGCCGCCGCCGCCGUUCCUCACAGUCAAGCAAUCGCAGGCCAAAGCCCACAACCCCAGCCGGCGCCGCCCGCAGCUCCUCGUGCGUGACAGCCGUGCGACGCCGCGCCUCCCUCAGCAACAGCUCCAAGCUCCAGCUCACUCGCAGACAGCCGCGCGAUUCUCAGCCAUUCACCUCGCGCGACCCCGAGCGCACAAUUCCGCGUGCCGCCAUCGAAGACCGCCGCGCCUCUCCCUCAGCCCGCCAUUGCGCCCCACCACUGUCCCGCUGUCUACGGUUGGGCACAAGGGAGGUACUUUUAAAAGAAAUUUUUAAUUUAAAUACGAGAAUGUCAAUUUCUAAAUUCUGGGGCUGUUUAGUGAUUGUUUGGAUUUCUUGGUGGAUUUGGUUGGCCGUCUGAUUAAAUUCUUCCUUGUGUGAUAACCAGUGGUACUGGUUGGGGUCUUUCGACCAUAGUUGUUGCUUAUAUUUGGUCAGAUGUCUGCUUGUUUGAAAGUUCACGUUCUUGUGAUUGAGUUGUUGCUCAAAUUCUGAUCUGCUGUUGCUAGAACUUUUGGUUGGUUGAGUUGUGCAAUUGACUGUCCAAUUGGAGACAGUUAUUGAGAUCUUAGGUGGGAUGGUGUCCAAUUGCUAAAAUUUGUUGCUUUGUUUCGUCACUCGCACUGCUCCUAGUUUGUUCGAGUGAAAUUGGUUGGAUGUUCUUUGCCCGUGGAGUGUAACUGUUACAUUGUUUGGGGCAGUUUUUUGGUAUUGAUUGAAUUGUUGGGCGUAAAUUGCUCAGGACUUUACAUUGCUAAUUUGGUGGGCCAUUUAUUGUGCAUUACCCUUUUGAAUUGGGAGAUACCUGUGCUUAUUGGGUUUUGACUACUUGAGAUUUCUGUUGCAUCUGGGGGAUAAAAUUUGAUGACUUUUGUGCCAGUUUAUUUGUUUGGAAAUUGUUGGGGGUAAUUUGGGAGUUACUUGUCAAUUGGGUCCCGUGUUACCCUCUACCAUUCAGUGGUACUGAUUGGUGUGUUUGGCUUUAUCACAUGUCUUGGGUUGGCCAUUUGAUUUCAAUUUUCCUUGUGCAUGCACCAGUGGUACUGGUGAGGGUAGUUUACAUAAUAUUUGUUACUCCUGUGUUAUUGGUUGCCUAAUCGACUACUGGGCAUUUGUGGUUGAAUUGUUUCUGUCCAACUUCUGAACUGUUGUUGCUGGAGUGCCAUUUUCUUGGGUCAAUUGCUGAUUUUAGCAAGUUGAAGUGGGUAAUUGACUGUCCAAUUGGAGACAGUUGUUACGAUAUUGGGUCCGAUUGUGUCUAAUUGCUGGAAGUUGUUGAUUUAUUAAGACACUAGCACAGUUCCUAGUUUGUUCGAGUUGCUGUUCUGUUGCAUUAUUGGGAGCUGUGCUCUAGUAUUGUGGCUACUUUCCUGCGUUUAUUUGUUGAAUUGGGAUAUGAAUGUGCCUAUUGCUCAUUUUGUUGCAUCUAAUUGACUUGCUUGGGGUAAUCUGCCCAUCAAUUUUAAUUACUCAAGUCUUUGGAGCAGUUGUUGCACAUUUGGACUACUUUGUUUCUAUAUCUGACUGAAUUGGGACCACAAGUGCUUAUCAAUUGCAUUUGCUAUAAGUAUUGGGGUAUUCGUAUAGAUUUUAGGAGCCUGCAUUGUGCAUUUUAUUGUUUGGGUUGCCUACUAGUUACCAUGGUGAAGCCACGAUCCUCCCCCAGGGGCCGAUGACUGGCUCCAACUUUCGAUGACAGUUGAGAGACUGGAGACUCGAGUGACCCACAUUGACAUCGACUUGCAUAACAUGGCGCAGAAUUUGGCAGCACUCCGCCCGACCCGCCCCUGUUUUGACAAUUUCAAGGAAGUACCGUUGCCCUUCUCUUUACUUUUGUUGUUGGUUUAUCACAUUGAGGGCAAUGUGUGAUUUAGGUGUGGGGGGAUCAGUUUGGGUGCUAGUAUUUUUAGUUUUUAGGUUCUAGAGGUUUUUCUUUUGUUUUAGUUUGAUAUUUAGUUCUUUUUUUUUCGUCUAUUUUAUUUUAUUAUUAUUAUUUUUUUUUCUUUCUCCUUUUUUCUAGUGGUCAGUCUUCAUAUGAAUACCAAGUUUGAUACUGGAUUGUUGUCUCUAAUUCUGCUAUUGCCAAGUCUUAUUAAUAAAAGGGUAUUAAGUUAAUGUGCUUGAGUUCAGGAAUAUCUCUUUGGUGAAUAUCGGUAAUUGCUUAACUUUUUCAAUUUUUGGUUAACUUUUCUAGGCAUAGGGAAUGAUUGUUGGCAUUUUUCAUGUGAAUUGGUUCAGUUAUUAAUUUUAGUUCUCCAUGUCUGGAAAUUUGAGGCUGGCUGCUGUUAAUCUUAUGUUGCUUUUAGAUAUCGUGUUAUAUGGUUGUAAAUAAGAGUUGACUGUACUCCGCUAGUGGUUACUACUGAGUAACCGGGGAUUUUCACCUAAAGUGUCGAUUCUCGCGUCAAAAGGUAGUAGUUGCUAUGAAUGCGUGGUCCUGUAGCGAUCGGAGCUGAGUAACCGGGCUCCUCCAUCUGAUAAAUGUUGGAGUUCGCGUCAAAAGGCUCUAAAUGGCUAGAGACUAAGUCUUUUGCUAUUCCCAAAAAAAAAAAGAAAAAAAACAAGUAAAGUUUGUGUUAGUAUUUAAAAAAAAAAAAAAGAAAGUCAGCUUGCCUAUUUGUGAUCUUAAUGUCGAGAUUUUGGUUAAUAGAUGGACCAUUUGCUGAUAAAUGUGAGCAACCAUUCCUUUUCCUUAGAUUAGUUUGCUUCAAAUUGAAGGAGUUGGUGGUUUAGAGGCUAAUCGGGGUGAUUUUUCUUGGAUGUUGACCUGUGAUGCUUGAUAUUUAUUUUUCUUGGACAUCUUGGCAAUACGGUAGUUGGAGUAACAGCCAUGGUCAACUUUUGGUGUUCAAUUGUUGUUCCCAUACUUGAGGGCAAACAUGAUUUAGGUGUGGGGGGAAUUGAUAGGGUGUUAAUUAUUGGUUAUUUUAUUAUUAAUCUCCCUUUUUAUCCUUGUCAAAUAUUGCUUAAUUGUUAAUAUUUACUCAUAUUUGGUAUCUGGAUUUAAUUUCAGGAAUGAAGUAGAAAACUACCAAAAAGGAGGGAUUUUAUGGAGAAUAUGGAAACUUCUAAGGGCUUCAAUUCUUGGGCCCUUGAAUUGGUGGGGACCACAAGCUAGUGAAAGGCAUUUAGUCAUUUGGGCUCUUCAAAAGAAGUUACAUAGAGAGACUUGGAGAAAGAAGUACUUUGGAGGCUUUGUCCAUAUGUGUGGGGACCACCUAGAUAGCUUUUAGUCAUCUUUCUUUUGUUGCUUUAAAAGGGGACAACGUACAGAAGCAAAGGACAUCUAGGGCUUUAGUUUUAGUUUUUUUAGUUUAGUUCUAGUUUCCUUUCUUUGGACUGGCCUCUGACACACGCCAGGUGUUCGACAAUAUUCCCCAACGGGAAGAUUUUCUCAUGAGGCGUGGUUAAGCUUUUCUAGUCAAGGGGACAACUGACGAUUUGGUUCGACAAUUACUGUGAGAUCGAAUCUGUUUUAAUUAUUUUCUUCAUUUAUUGGUAUUUAUAUGUUCCUUGAUUUUAAUUGCUAUGGCCUUGUGUAUGAUUGAUUAGUGCGCAAUAAUUAAUUAUUCAUAUAGGCUAUUUUUGCUAAAUAGGGGUAAUUGAAUCCGUAAUUGUUCGUUAUCUCUACCUCAGUAGCAACUGGCGUAAAUGGGUUUAUGUCAGGGGAGCAUAUGAUCUAAUUUAAACAAACCCUCGUAGCGUGUUUGUUGGUUAGGAUUGGGCCUUUCUAAUUAUUAAUGCAAUCUAGAAAUUAAAUCCUACGGUCGUACCUAGGGUUGUUUUUGGGUUAGAGAAAUAGCUAACGGUCGUACCUUAGCUAUCGAGAAAUUAAGGAAGGGUUGGUUGUUUAUCGCGUGCAUGACAACUAUAACUAAUCUAUUGCUAAAUGUUGGAAUUAUUUCUGCAUCAAUGAUCAGUGCAUGAACCAUUUCUGAUGUGUACCCUUGGCUAGAGUUUCCCCAAUCAUUUCUUUUAAUUAAUUAUUUUCUGCAGUUAAUUUAUUUAGUUAGCAUUUAAUCCAAAACCCCCCAUACUUUGGACUCUAGAAGAAACGAAUUAUCCCCAAUCCCUGUGGAUUCGACCCUACUCACCGCUAUAUACAAAAUCUGUAUCUUUAUUGAGUAGGUAUUUAUUAUUGUACAGGUUCGGCACCUGUCAAUUUUGGGGUGAACACAUUUUGUCAUUAAUUGUUGAUUGUUGGGGGACGUUUUUGGUAACACUUGAGUCUAUUUUGCUGAGUUCUGUUGAUAGAGCAGUUAUUUGGCACAUUUUACAGUGUUAUUUUGUCCUAAUUUUGGCUAUUCAUGGUGUUAAGAAUUGGAAUAUCACUCAUAUUUGAUGUUUGUGUGAAUUGUAGGUGGUCGGCAUUAAAAAUGACCUCUCAAGGCAAAUUUCUAGAAGACUCUUCGUCUCAGAGCAUGGCCACGCCAGAGAAGGUCGAUGUUACCGAAAAGCCGGACCCCGGUCCACGUGAACCGCAAGGAGCACGGGAUUAAAGCUCUAAAAGGCUAGCUUUUGUUUCAAUCAAUUGGGUCAGACAUGACUUGGCUCCUAGAGGCUUCAAUUAAAAAAGAAAAGAAAGGGCCAGACGUCGAGGGAAUGAGAAUGAGGAAACUAGGUCUACAUGGACCAGCUACACGGGAUAAAAACUCCAAUGAAGAGAAGAGCUCUGCUCCGCGUGGAUUUCCCCUGCGGCACUAUAUAAGACAACAAAAAAGGUGAUGCAGCGGAGAAUAUAGAUUAGCUUUGAUUUUCUUUUCGAGAGGGGUCAGGCGAUUGCAGACUUUUGUAGCUUUUCGGUUGUGACACUUGGACUCCUUGGCUUUUGUUUUGACUCUGCACAAUUUACGUUAGUUUUUGUUCGUACACUUGCGGCACCAAAGCAAAGACGAAGGCAGUGCCUUCUCUGUUGUUACUGCAAUUAAUUCCCCUUCCCCAAUUUUCGGCGAAUAAUUGAAUGAAUUCAAUUAAAUCACGCGGGAUUGACACGAUAAGGAGCGGCUAAUUUUCUCCUCUACCCAAAGGUUGACGCGAAGGCGCGGUCCAUAAUAUCUGUGAGAUCUAAUCGAAUUUUCAUUAUUUCUUUCAAUUUAUUGCUAUUCGUACGUUUCCUGAAUUAAUUGUUCAUGAGUAUUUUACUAAUUGAAUAUCAACGGCCGGGUAUUUGAUUUAAUUUAAUAGUCUACUGCCACGUUAAUUAAAUAGAAUCCGUAAUUGUUCAUUUAGUUAACACCUCGUGGCAACCACCAUAAUUGGCUUUAUGAUGGGAAAACGCAAGAUCUAAUUUAAAUAAACCCUCUUAGCGUAUUUAUUGGUUAGGGUUGGAUUCUUCUAGCUUUAAUGCAAUUGGGUAAUUAAAUUCUCACGGUCGUACCUAGGGUUGUUAUCUGGUUAGAGAAGCAGUCAAUGGUUGUACCUUGACUAUCGAAAAAGUAAGGAAGAACUGGUUGUCAGAGCUUAUUGAUAACUAUAACCAACCUAGUGAUGAAUGGAUGAAAUACCUUUGCAUUGAUGAGCAUCUGUCUUGAGUCCAUUGAAGUGCCGUUGGUUGAGUAAUUUCUGCGUCUUUUUGUUGAAUUGGAAGGCUAUUGUGACACUUCCAUUGCACUUUCGGAAUGCAUUGUUUCUGUAUUUGACUAAAUUCAGGCCACCAGUGCUUCUUGAUUGCAAUCACUGUGCUGUUGGGGUAUUUGUACAGCUUUGAGUACCUGAAUUGUGUUUGUGUUGGUUGGAGUACCAUUUAUAGAGAAUGGUGAGACCUAAAUCCUCCUCUAGGUCUAGGACACCUAGAACUUCUCAGCCUCCUCCCACCCUAGGGGCUAACGAUUGGCUCCAACUCCGAAUGCAAGUUAAGAGACCGGAGAUUCGAGUGACCCACAUUGACAUCAACUUGCAUACCAUGGUGCAGAAUUUGGCAACAAUUAUGCACCAUGCGGGUCUUGUUCCUCAGUUUCCGUCUGACCCACCCCUGUUUUGACGACUUCAGGGAAGCACCGGUGCUCUUUUGCUUACUUUUGCUAUUAAAUUAUCACAUUGAGGGCAAUGUGUGAUUUAGGUAUGGGGGGGAUCAGUUGUGGUACUAGUAUUUCCAGUUUUUGAUUUUUAAGUGUUUUUCCUUUGUUUUUAGUUUGAUAUUUUUCUCUUUUUCGUUUAUUUCUUUUAUUCGUGAUCAGCUCUUAUUUGAAUACCAAGUUUUGAUGUUGGAUUGUUGCCUCUAAUUCUGCUCUUGCCAAGUUUUAAUAAUAAAAGGGUAUCAAGUUAAUAUGGUUGAAUUCAGGAACAUCUCUUUGGUGAAUAUCAAUAAUUGCUUAACUUUUCCAAGUUUUGGUUAACUUUUCUAGGCAUAGGGAAUGAUUGUUGGCAUUUUUCAUGUAAAUUGGUCCAAUUAUUAAUUUUAGUUCUCUAUGUUUGGAAAUUUGAGGCUGACUGCUGUUAUUUUUAGUUAUUGUGUUAUAUGAUUGUAAAUAAUAGAUAACUGUACUCCAUUAGUUGUUACUACUGAGUAACCGGGGAUUUUCACCUAAAGUGUCGAUUCUCAUGUCAAAAGGUAGCAGUUACUAUGAGUGCGUGGUCCCGUAGCGAUUGGAGCUAAGUAACCGGGCUCCUCCAUCUGUCAAAUGUUGGAGUUCGCAUCAAAACGCUCUAAGGGUUAUAAACUAAGUCUUUUGUUAUUCAAAAAAAAAAAAGAAAAAAAGAAGCAGAAGAAAACAAAAGAAGCAGAUUGUGUUAGUAUAUGAAAAAGUCAGCUUGCCGAUUUGUGAUCUUAAUAUCGAGAUUUUGGUUAAUAGUUGGACCGUUUGCUGAUAAAUAUGAGCAACCAUUCCUUUUUCUUAGAUUAGUUUGCUUUAAAUUGGAAGAGUUGGUGGUUGGGAAGCUAAUCGGGGUAAUUUUUCUUUGAUCUUGACCUGUGAUGCUUGAUAUAUGUUUUUCUGGAUAUCUUGGCAAUACGGUAGUUGGAGCAAUAGCCAUUGUCAAAUUUUGGUGUUCAAUUUCUGCUCUCAUGCUUGAGGGCAAGUAUGGUUUAGGUGUGGGGGGAAUUGAUAGGGUGUUAAUUGUUAAUAAUUUUAUUGCUAUUUUUCCCCUUUGUCCUUGCCAAAUAUUAUUUUAAUUGUUAACAUAUACUUAUUUUUGGUAUUUGGACCAAUCUACAGGAAGUGGAACUGACAAAUGCUAAAAAGGAGAUUUUAUUGAGAAAAAUCCUUCACAUGCUAGAGCCUCCAGCGGAUAUACAAGUUGGGCCCACAUGGUGUUACAAAUUCGGUUGCUGAUGGGGAGCUCUUAUUAUUGGGAGUUGACUUGUACGUGUAGGAGUCCUCCUACCAAGAGGAAACAAGAAAAAAGGAAUUCGGCAGAGGCCCAUCUUUUGUACUUAGCUUUCUCAAUUCGGUAGGGACCAUGGACUAGAGGUUUUCAUUAGUGAUUGGACUUUAAAAGGGAAGAAACGUAUAGAGGCUUGGGGAUUAUUAUGAUUAGCGUAGCUUUAGUUUUAGUGGUUAGCUAGCGUUUCCUUUUCAUGCGCACGAGGUGCUCGACAAUAUUUUUCAACGGGAAAAAAAAACAUCUUUUACUCUUGCUUUCUAGUGAAAAACUUGAUGCCUUUGCAAUCAAUUAAUUUGCGUGGAGAUUUAAUUAUGCGGCGUGGCUAAGCCUUUCAUCUAGUUAAGGAUCAACUCGAUGGUACAGUCCCAAAUAUCUGUGAGAUCUAAUUAGUUUUCACGCGUUUCUUAAUUUGUUAAUAUUUGCACGUUGCCUAUUUGAAUUUUCAAGGGAUUAUUUUGUUAAUUGGAUGUCAAGGGCCCGAUGUUCAAUAUGGCUUAUUAAUCUCCUUCCAAAUUAGUCAAUUAAAUCCGUAAUUGUUUGAUUGAUUAAUAUUAGUGGCAACUGGCGUGUUUAUACACUAGGGGAACGUGCAAUCUAAUUUAAAUAACGCUCGUAGCGUGUUAUUGAUCGGGGUUAGGUUUUUCUAGUUAUUAAUGCAAUUGAAAAAUUAAUUCCUACGAUCGUACCUAGGAGUAUUUUCUGAUUAGGAAUAAUCAAUGGUCGUACCUUGAUUAUCAAUAAAUAAAAGAAAAAUUGGUCGUUAGAAUUCGUCGGCGACUAUAACUAGCCUAUUAAUAAAUUAAGUGAACCUCCCUUGCAUCAAUGAUCGAGUAAGUGGACUGUGUCUGAGUAGUUGUAUCAUUGGCUAGAAUUUAUCUAUUCUUGAUUUAAUUCCUGCCUAUAUUCGUGCAAGUUAAUUAUUUAUUUUUAGUGAAUUUUUUAAUUAUUUUUAGUUUUACUCCGAUAAAAUCCUCCUUUAUCAAUUGGAAUCUCAAAGAGACAAAUAUCCCCAGUCCUUGAGGAGAUGACUCUACUUGCCACUGUCUACUAUUUAGUAAGUUUUGUCAACUAAUUAAUUCUGAUAUAUCGGAUUAAGCAAACUUUUCGAGAAUAGGGUGAAUCAAGUAACCCAUUACACACCUAGAGUCCCUGCUCCAGUAUUUAGGAUUAAUUAUUGACUGUUUUUAGUGGUAUUUAUAUUUUUAUUAUUAUUAUUGCAUAGGCUCGACACCUGUCAAUUUUUGUGAUGUUGACCCAAACAACAAAGGACGGGUUAUGUGAUGUUGACCCAAAUAACAAGUCUUCACUAGUGAAUGUGAUAUUUGUGAUAUCCACCUCUUUAUUACCAGUGGGCACGUGAGUUAUCUCACAAGGAGAUUCGCGAGUAUCAUCCUUUGUUCUUCAAUAUCAUCAACUUGCGUUGUGUGACAUGAGACCAUAUCAAUAUCAAAGAAUCUUUUAGAUAUGAAUUCUUUUAAAAUGAUAGAAACUCGCGACUUUUGCUUGAAUACUUGAUUUUCUUGAAGAUUGUGAUUAUUAUUAUUUUUCUCUAUAUUCUUCUCUUUUCUCUUCCAGACCAUUCUACUUCUUGUUAAGGCCUUGUUUACCUUAUUAGAUGGACGAGAGUUUCAUCUUCAUCUUCGCGUGAUCAGAGUUCAUCCAUCAUCAUCUACGUCUGAUUGUAAUGACUUCUCAUCUUCAUAUUCAUAUUUUUGAAGAGCUGAAGGGGCGAUUUUUUGUUCAACUUCUAUAGGAUCAAAUGAUCCAAAUUGAAUGGUUGGCAAUAUAGGUAUCGUAAACUUUUCGACUUCCAUGGACUGUAGUGAAUCAACGGAGGUUUGAUUCAUACUUGCUUUGUUUUUUUCAAGAAAAUUUUUUUCUUGUCUUGCCAAAUCCAUCAUCUCAUCUUUAAAGACAAAGUAUUUUUGAAUGGGAUGUCCAACCAAGCAAUGAUACUUGAUUUGGAUCAUCCGUAUUACUAAUCUCGUCAAGUCAGUUCAUCUUGGAAGCAUGAUCAAGUUCAUGCUUAACAAAUUAUCAAAUAUACUAGGAACAUCAGAAUCAAGGAAAUUGUACUUCUUGUUUUGCAUCUCCUUGAGUGUUGGUUUUUUCUUUCCUUCGUCUUGAUGCAUACUGGUUUUCUUGUCUUCUCUUUUAGCAGUUCUGAGAAUAAUCUUGAAAGGUGUUAUACUUGCAGCUAUGGCCUCUUUCUCACUUUGAUUGGGGGCUUGCCUCCUUUCCUCACUUCUUGUUUCUCCUUAGCCUUGCGAGAAUCAGGAAUUGGCGGCUCUUGUCCAUCAAGGUUAAUUUCUAUCUUAUGAGUUUUUGGGGAUAAUUCAUCAAAUAUUUCUGGUUAUACCCCUUACAAGAUAUAUCUGAAUCCCCAAUGCAAGUCUUGAAUACACAUCUCAAUAGCGGAAGACUCGAAAAUUCGAUCCUUACAGUUUAGGCUUAGAUUUUUUCGAGCGAUUGAUAAAGUUAAUAACAUGUUCAUUCUUUCACUAGCACAUAUUUUAGAGUUCAAUUAUGCUGACAGUCCUUUUCGUGCUAUAGAAGCAAUUAAGGAAUUCCUACUCUAAUUGCUCCCAACUGUCAAUGCUGCUAGAUUCUAAAUCUGUGUACCAAUCAAACGUGUUACCCUUCAAUGAGUGAACAAAUUGCUUAACUAGCAAGUCACCAUUAGUGCCAGCAUUGUUACAAUUUUCGACAAAGUGCGCAAUAUGUUGUUUAGGGUUACCUUUGUCAUCAAAUUAUUGAAACUUUGAAAAUUGAAAUCCUACAAGCAUCUUCAAACAUUUACUCUUGUGGUGUAAGGUUUGAUAUAAUUGCUAUAUGACUUGGUAUUUCCACCAAUCUUGUCCUUGAUCGUACCUUUGAUAAACUCCUUUAAAUUAUCAACAUGAAUGGUACUAUCAGGAGAGAUUGAAAACUCCUUCAUUAUUCGUGACUUGGUAUCCUCUUUCUCUUUCUUCCUUGAUGAUGAGUUACCUUCAUAUUUUUUACCAUGGCCAUUAGUUUGGCUAUUUUGGCAUCUUGACUUUGCACGUGCCCUGCUAGCCCUUCGACAAUUUGGCAAGAUUUGAAAUUUGAUCUCUACGGUUGUGGUGUUAGUCAUCAUGAUGGGCAUUACCACAGAAGUAGCUAAAUUGCUUGAGCUAUCAGCAGAUUCAUCAUGGACUCCCUUCUUGUUGGGAAAAAUCUCAAAAUUUUUUCUUUCAACCACAGCAUUCGCCUUAACCCUAUCUACUAAUUUCUUAGCCUUGCUCCUUGUCAUAGGUGUAGUAUACUGCAUCUCCUGAGUUGUUGGGAUGCCAGCAACUGAGCCUUCAAGAGCAAAACUCAUCUUCUUGGACUCCAUUGAUUCUUGAAACAAGUAAGCUAUUCAAAGAAAAGAGAUGAAAAACAGAGAUGGUCCCACCAGACGUGUCAUAAAAUUUGUGAGCAUAAAUUUUGUUGCCUAAAAUAAAGACAAGAAAAUUUGCAUAAAUAUCAAAUUUAUUAAAUCAAAUAAUAAAUGGGUUAUAAUUUUUGAAAAUUCUUGAAUUAAAGAUAUUAAUCUUCUAAUUCUUCUCUUCAAAAACUUCAAUUGAAGGGUUGAAAAGACUUGUUUACCGAUCAAGAGGGUGUUUCCUACGAUUUUGACAUAGAAAACCGCUGAUUUGAUGAUGACGUUAAAUAGUUGAUGUUGGGUUUGGAUUUUAUUCCACCAAUCGUUCAUUUUGUUGGAUUUGAGUUUUAUACCACCAACUGUGGGAUAAAACCCAAUCCCAAUAAAAUGAACGGUUGGUGGGAUAAUACUCAAAUCCAAUAAAAUGAAUGAUUGGUGGGAUAAAAUCCAAACCCAACACUUGUAUCUUUAAAUCUUCAAUGUCGAUAGAAGGAGGAUUUAUUUUAACUUGAUUUGGAUUUGAAUUUAAGGGAAAAUGCUCUCGAGAGAAUUUGACAGAAUUUCUUCAAAAUUUAGAAAUUUCAAUGUGUUUUUGUACUAAGAGAAUACCUUUAUUUAUAGGCAAAAUAUGUAGAUUAUGUCUUCAAGAAAAUUCUCCAGAACCUUCUUGCGUUUGGGUAACUUGUACCUCAAGAAACUCAUUUAACUUAGGUUUAAAUAGUGGGCCUAUUCAAAUAAUCCAUUGUGAAUUAAUACAUCAAUUAAUCCACUUUAAUUUAAAUGGGUAACACAUUGAUUUGAUUUGAUUUAAUAGCCCAUAUAUCAUUGGUCUAUUUUGUCAAUCAAAACAUAAUAGACUGCUAUAAUUUAAUUUAAUGUAAUCAAGAUCAAUUUAAUUUAUUUAAUCUUGACUAAAUAAAUUUUCUUUGUCUACAGCAUGUACGUGUAAUUUUCCAAAUAAUGAUACUUUUCAAAGAGAGUUUUCAAAUAAUGAAAGUUCUAAAACAAGGCAUUCACCGAAUGCGUGAAUGUAUCUUUUUAAACAACGCAUUUAGUCAAUACGUUUUUAAGGAAAAAUGCCUAUACAAAUAAAAGAAUGAAUUCUAUAAAUGUGUCUUUUGAGGAAACAACACAUUUACUAAGUACGUUUUUUCACUCUUUGGGAAGAAGUUCAAAAAACACCACCAUUUGAAAGGUAAUUUUAGAAAAUCCCACUUUUUGAGAAUUUACUCAAGCUUGUACUUGACAAAAUGUGUUGGGAAAAUUGUGACGUCAGGUGAAUUGUAAAACUGUUGUGCCAUCGUAAUGUAUGUUUUGCACUAGAUUGAGUAAGAAUUAUAUCAAAAUAGUCGGCCACAAUAUAGGAAUGUGAAAACUUUGUGUUAAGUAAGUUGUAAUAUUUUUGUAUCAUCUAACGUAUAUUUGAAAACGAUUGAGAAUAUAAUAUAUGGAAACAACAGGUCACAAUGUUGAAAUGUCAAACCUCUUGUUUCAAACCAAAUACUUAUUAAACUCCUUCAUAUCGCUAACGAAUUUUGAUUCUGAAGUAAUAAUAGUUUUAUUUAAUUAUUUGCCUUUUUUGGAACAAUAUUAAAAUGUAGCCAUAAAUUUAAAUUCCAAAAUUGUUGAAUACUUGAGGAAUUCUAGAAAUGGCACUGAGAGUCAAAGUUCACCUUAUUCAAAAGUCACCAGCCAUCUCAGAGUGCAUGUUUCUAUUGAGUUUCAGGUUCAAUGUGUACCCACUUCCACUUUUGGCUGAUCAAUCAGGACUAAGGUUCCGUUUGAUAAAACUGAAUCUGAAUUCUGAAAUCUGAAUACUGAAACAAUUAAUUUGCUGAAUUUUAAGUUCUGAAAAGAAAUAUAUGAAUGUCUGAAUUUUAAUGUUAAAUCUAUUUCUACUGUUUGAUAAACAUUUAUAACUGAAUGCUUAAUAAGUUAAAUUUGACAAAUUUGCCCUUAAUCUUUUCAUCCAAAAAAGAAGUAGAACCUAUGAUUUAAUUAGGUAAAAAUGUUAGGUAUGAAAAUGACAAUAUUUAUUUUUAAAUCAAAUUAAUAUAAAAGAUGAAAUAUAUUAUAUGCGGAGUGGAGAAGAUGUAAAAAUCAUUCAAAAUGGAGAAAAAAGAAAUAGAAAAUCAUUAGAUAGAGAAUAUUAGAUUGUUUAAUUAGAUAAGAAUUUUGAACAUAAUUAACAAACAAUGGUAGAUUUGAUAGAUAAGAUAAGGUAAUUGAAGUAAUUCUAUUGAUUCUUAUCAGAAUUAAGUAUUCAGUUAGGAUUUUUGUGCUGAAAAAAAUACACACAAUUUCAGCACUACUUAACAAGUUCAGCAAAUAGAUUUUCAUUUAUCAAACAUUCAAAACAUCUAAAUGUCUAAAAAAAUUUAGAUUCAACACUUUUUUAUAUUAUUAAACAGACCCUAAGAGAAUAAAAUAACUUGCUUGCUGUUAGCGAUGGCAACGGGGCGGGGUUGGGGCGGGGGACCCCUCCCCCGUCCCCCGCCCCGUUGCCUAUUAGUUCCCCCUGUCCCCCGCCCCCCCCCCCGCUUCCCCCGCGGGGUUAAUAAAAUUUUAUUAUAAUUAAAUUUUAAUAAAUAAUCAAUUACUAAAAUAUCAACACAUCACCAAAUUAUUAUUCAUUGUAAUUUUACAAUUAAAACUCAUAAAAACAAUCAAACAAAAGUUAUUUGAAUACAAUCCAAUAUGAUGAAAUAAAUAUAACUAAAAUAGUUAAGUUUUCGCUUUUAGUACAAAUGCAAUCACUAAUUCAUUAUUGUGUUUGUGCUUUUCUUUUGAGAAAAAAGUGUUAUUCUAUUAAGUGUAAUUAGAAAUUUAGUAUAAAUGUAUUAGUAAAUUUAGUAUAACUAAUUAAUAAAUUUUAUUAGUAGACAUGUAUAAUUAUUCAUAUAAUUGAUAAUAUCAAUUAUAUUACAUAAACUACUAUACAUUAUAUAAUACAUCUAACUAAUAAUAUCAUUAUCAUAAGUUUAUAACUAAUUAACUUACAUAUUAUAUAUAAUUAUAUAUAUAUUUUUUUUAGGGUGGCGCGGCGGGGGAUGGGGCGGGGGUAUACUCCCCCGUCCCCCGCCCCGUUUCUAAGCGGGGGGAAAAAUUCCCCCCCCCGCCCCAACCCCCGCCCCGAGAGCCCCCCGUGGGCACCCGCCCCCAUUGCCAUCCCUACUUGCCGUUUUUAAAAAAGGAUUCAUUAUUUUUUCUUUGAGCAUUGGUAUCUCCACCCUCAAUGACACUAAUCUGGAUUCAAUAUGAGGAGUGUCCGUAGAGGCUGACUCUUACUCGAGAGUAAAGACUUGACCCAGAGCUUUUCAAGGCGUCAUCAUAUGUAGGAGUCAAACUUAUGAACUCUGUGCAUAGAUAAUUUAGCUCCAGUCUGUGGAAUGUCUUGAUGUUAGGUGAGUUGUAAUAUUUUGGUAUCAUCUAAUGAAAUUUUUAAAAGAUUGAGAAAUAAUAUAGAGCAAAACACCAAUUUAUUCCCUAAAUUAUUUUGCUAAAAUCAAAAUACUCCGUAAAUUUAUUUUGAGUCAGUUUAGUCCCCCAACUAUUUUUACAAAGCUGAAAUAGUCCUUAAACUUUAUUAUGAGCCAAUUUAGUCUCUCAACUAUUUUGUUUAAGUGAAAUAGUACCCCACCUUUAUUUAUUUGGCCAGUUUGGUCCUUGUUUGACUCAUCCACCCAAUUUAUCAACCUUGUGCACUAACAAUCAGGGGCAAAAUAAGAAAUUUAGUCAAUGCCCUUACUAAAAUGAUAGAAGAAUUAGAUAUCUGGCAAAAUUAAAAACAAAAUUGAAUCAUAUAGAGAACAAAAAAAUAUAGUGUUUCUUAUGGAGGAAAAAAAUGGAGCUGAUGCCUAAAAUCUCACAUGGAUCCAACUCAGUCCAUUGAAUGGAGAAAAGGGAAAAUAACACAACAAGAAUAUGUUAAAAGUUGGAAAAUGUGCUAUAAUUAUGAUUACUCCUUUAAGAAAUAAAGCUGAAAGAAGCUCAAUUUCUUUUUGUUUUCCAUAUUAUUCAAUUUCGUUGUCGAUUUUUCGAUAGAUGUAUGUUUUUUUUUUUGUUUUAAUAAGGGCUAUGAUUGGAUUUCCUAUUAUGCCAUUGGCUGUCGAUGCUACACUUGAUAAAUUAGAUGGAUCAUCCAAAUAAAGACAAAAUUGGCUAUGUAAACAUUAGUGAGGGACUAUUUCAGCUUAAGAAAAAUAGUUGAGGGACUAAAUUGGCUUAUAAUAAAAUUAGGGACUAUUUCAGCUUUGUAAAAAUAGUUGAGAGACUAAAUUGACUCAUAAAAUGUUUAGGGACUAUUUUGACAUUAAGGAAAUAGUUUUGGGACUAUAAACAUUAGGUCACAAUGUUGAAAUAUCAAAACCCAUGUUUUGGACCAAAACUCAUAGAACUUCUUCACGUCGCUAACGAAAUUUGAUUAUGAAGUAAUGCUAAUUUUAUUUAUUAUUUGUUUCCUUGCUGGUCUUCUGUCUUUUUGGUUAUUCCAAAAUUGUUGAAUAUUUAAACGAAUUCUAGAAAGGGCACUGAGAGUCAAAGUCUUAUUCAAACAGCCAGCUAUCUCAAAGUACAUAUUUUUUUAUUAUCAGGUUCAAUAUGUAUCUAUUGCAAUUUUUGAAUGACCAGCCAUGACUAAGAGAAUAAAAUAAUUCACUUGCUGUUUUUAGAUAUGAAUUCAUGACUGUCAGUAGUCUAUAAAUACACUUAUUGCUCACCACUCUUUGCACCGCAAAAUCUCUUCAAGAUCCAACAAACCCUCCUGUUCUUGGUCUUUGUCCAUUUGUGAAAAAACAAAUUAAAGCGUCAUGGCCCCUAUCACUUGUAGUGCUGAGAUGACCUCCCCAAUCCCUCCUGCAAGGUUGUUCAAGGCCGCCAUCCUUGAUGACCACCCUUAAUGCCACAGGCUAUUAAGAGUGUGGAAAUCCUUGAAGGAGAUGGUGGCGUUUGAACCAUUGAGUUGAGCACAUUUGGUGAAGGUUAGAUGUUAUAUUAAAUGUAGAACCCCAAAUUUAAGGAUCUAAUAAUAAUCAAUGCGUGCAGGGUUACAGAAUUGGAGGGAUAAAACAAAUACUCAAAAUAUACGUGGAAGAAAAGAAAAAUAAUAAAUUCAACUCACAAUAUUAUUGAAAUUUCAAACAAUGAAGAAAAUCAUACCACAAUGAAUUCAACUGGUUCUAAUAAUAAUCAAAGCAUACAAGGUUACAGAAUUAAAAGGAUAAAACAAACACUCAAAAUAUAUGUGGGAGAGAAGAAAAUAAUAAAUUCAACACACAAUAUUAUUGAAAUCUCAAACAAUGAAAAAAGUCACACCAUAAUAGAAAACCUUGCUAAUGCUUCUAGAUUCUUUCUCUUGAGAAACCAACCUAAAUAAUGUUCUAUUUAUAAUCUACCAAACUUGUUAGGAAAGAAACCACUUGCAUAAGAAAUUACCAAAUAAUACAGAAAUUCCUAAAUCACACAACUACUAAAAACAUAACUCAAAUAAAACUAAAAAAUAAAUAAAUAUUACUAGGCUUAGUUUAAUUUGUCAACAUUGCCUCCUUUAAACCAUACUAUCCAUUGAGAUAGGUUCAACACCAUCUCGAGCAAUAAUUUCUAUGCAAAUCUAUGUUGUAGUACACUUGACAUGAAACUCUAACUUGUUACCAGUUAUUAAUUUCAUUUUUACACGUAACAGUGGACACACUAUGUAUUGUGUAAACAACUUCUCAGCAAUUUCUUCUUGAUCAAAGAACUCACUUAUACAAACCCAUUCAUCACCAGAAUCACCAUAUUUACCACCAAUGUAAGUGCCUAAAAAUACAAAAUCAUAGAUUUCUUUCUCGCUAAAAUUAUCAUCACCAAAUAAUUCAAAAUAACCACUACUACAAUCAUCCAAAAUUUUCAUACUGUCAGUCAACUCUUUUGGAGUAAAAUAUUUUUCAACUCCGAUGACAUCCAUAUCUAUUAAAUCAAACAUUCUCCCAUCACUUUGAAGAGAGUCCGAACCAACGAAUUUUUCAACAACAAUUUCAUGUUCUCUUCUCUUAUCAAAUCAAAAUUUUUUUCUUCUUUUGUCAAAUUACCAUAUUAUUUUUUUCAACAAAUUCAUUACUUCUAAUUUCUCCAAACAAGGUACGCAAAUCAAAACUAUCAAUUGAUUCAAAAUUUUCGAUAUCACCCAUAUUAUCAACAAAUCUAUCAUUUUUAAAAUCCACAAACCAAUACCAAUAAAUAGACUUCGGUUUGAAAGCAUAAUUUCUCCCAAUCGUGUGCAAAACAUAGUAAAUAUCCUUCCAAAAUCUCUAAAGUAUUUUAAUUAGUACGACCAAUAAAGGUUUUAUAAACACUUUUUGCCAUUAUUUUACGCAUCACUUGAAAGAAUAAUUGUGCCUUUUUCUUAAAAACAUGUUUUGACAACUUACUUGCAUCAACCCAACAAAGAAUAUCAUCCAAAUUACAUUGUUUAACAUAUUUUUCCACUAUUAAAAUCCAACCAAAAUAUGUAUGUCCAUUUGUGCUUAUAGGAGUCAAUAUGAAAAAUUUUUCACCGUGAAUCAGAUCUUUAUAAUAUUCCAUUAUUUAACAAUUUGUAUACCUGGAUAAAUUUUUUUCCUCCAUCCUGUCAUGUUUUCUUGGCCUCCCUGGUUGACUAACCAAAUUAUUGUUGUAUGUAUACCCAUGCUCGUCAAACCUCAUUUGUGUACACUCGUAAGGAGUGGUUCUGAGCUUCUUGUGAAUGCUCAGUACCAAGAAGUAGAAGAGAGAAUGCAUAAGAGAGAAUUAACUUGGCUAUAGAAAUAGGAAACAAUUGAGGGAUUUUUUAAGAAAUUAAUUCUCCAGCUACCACUUUUGGAAAUUUUCUAUCAACAACUAGUUACCAAAACACUAGCACAUAAUAAGAAAUCAGGAUAAUUUCAGAAACCUCCCUUGAGGCUUUUAAUAACCUCAAGAAGCUCCCCUCAAUAUUUUAAAAUUACACGUACCUUCCCUAUUGGUGCAAAAGUACUCUACUACCCCUAAUAGGAUACUCAAAAGACUUUUUUUUAUGGGAAAAAUGAAGCUCAGAAAUCCAAGCAAAAUCAAAAAAAUCAAUUGAUUUUCUCUUUUAGCCUUUUACACUUUUGCCUUCUACCUUUGCUCACUUUCCCAUCCCAAUCUUCCUACACCCGCUUUCCCAAUCCCCUUUCCCCAACUUUUCUCCUCUACUUCAAGACCAAUUUUUGUCUAUCUAUCCUGGCUUGUGCUUUGUUCCAUUCCCUUCCCUUCUCCUUCUUUGAUUUCGCCUACAUCUCCCUUUCUCUUUGCAAAAGUGACUAGGCUCAUGUCUCUCUUUUUCCCCCCUAUUCUAAGUGUAGUGGGUUUGAUUAUUUUGCAUCUAUUUUAUUUGAUUUGGGUUGAUUAUGGGUGAUAGAACUUGGCGAUGUCAAAUAUCAAAAGUUUGAUAGAUGGAUAUUGGGCUUUAGACAAUGAUUUGCUGAAAAAAAUGGCUGCAAUGAGACAAAGAGGCAAGGGGAUUUGAGUGUGGGGUUGAUUGUUGAUAAAUUGUUGUUUUGGACAAAAUUUGAGGUUGAGUUUUAUUAAAUUUGAUAGCAAGUGGCGAGUUUUGUUCAGGUUGCGGGAAAUAAAUUAGAUUGUGGUUUCUUGGGCACCCACAGUUGUUGGAAUUGGUUUUGAUUCAAAUUAGGGUGGUUACUUGAUUUUCCUAAUAGUGUUGCUUAAAAGCACACGAUCAUCAAAAUUCCUUAUUUUUAUCUUUUGUUUUUUCUUGUAGAAAAGAUUUCACGACUUUCGUGAUAGUCUAAUUUGGAAGAAGGCAAUCAAGGGAUGCAAUCAACAUUUAGCAAAAGCUCUUGUUCUUUCCUUUGUAAUUUUUAGGGUAAAAAGGGUAGUUUAGGGUAUUUGAAGGAAAUGAUAGUCUAUUGGGUCUAUUUUCAAGCAUAAAUAGUGAACGUAAGGGAGGUUGGUGUAAUUUCUGAAACCUAAGGGAAAUUGUCUGAAAUUGUUCGAGACCUCAGAGGAGGUUUUCGAAAUUAUCCCUAAGAAAUCAAAUGCGAAACUUGAUUAGUACACGCACACACGACACCGCACCACGCCGCGCGUGUGUUGAGGAUUGGUGUCCGUAACCAACGACAAGCAGGUUUUCAAUUUUUUUUUCCUUUCCUGGAUUCUCCAGAGAUGGUGUCAGCUUCUAUUAUUGAUGAGCAGGAGGAAAUCCACAAUAUACAGUACACAUCACCCAUAUUCUUUUUAAUUGAACAAUGUAUGAAAUUAUGGUGAUUCGAAAUUAAAUUAUAUGUUUAUUGGGCACUGAAUCCAAAAUAAGAGUUGGAAAUGUAUUGUGACAACAAUUGUUAACAUAGGCCACAAAUGAUCAAAACAAAUAUUUAAGGUUUAAUAUGACAUUAUGGGUUCAGAAUAUAGUUACUUGUUAUGAAACAACUAAAAGUAUGGAUAUCCAUUUGUAUUUUCAAGAGGAUCAAUUCAUAAUUCAUUGCUCCCAAGAGGAUUAAUUCAUAAUACAUUGCUACAUUAUGUAAAGGAAUUGCAUUGGAUGAACGGUUUCAAUCCAUAAAAGCUAUUUAUGUAUUGGAUGAACCGUUUCAUAUGGCUAUUCAUGUUCUUGUAGUAAUGAGUGUUUAAUAGAAUUGAUGUACCUUUAAUUUUGUAGUACCUAUAUAUACAGGUACUUUGGCACCUCUUGGGUAUACUUUUUGAUUAGUUGGAAUAAUAAGAAAAUUAUUCUUCAUUUCUGUACUUCUUUCUCUAAUAUUUCAAUUCCUAUUAUAGUAGUUCAUUUUUUUUAGUUUUACAACACGUUAUUAGCAUGAGUCUCUACUUUUGAACAAAAAGGUGAAAACGGAGCCUCUACCUUAAAAAAAAGUGAAACACGAGAUUCUGCCAAAAUUUUGCCCGUAUUUUUCCGGCAACUUCUGUCCACUUAUUGAGAAAUGGAUGCCAAAUAUUUGGGAUUAAAUAAUGGUGAUGAUGAUAUUUGUCUCAUUGAUAGUGCUACUACGCACACUAUAUUGAAAAAUAAAAAAAAAAUUUCUUGUAUGAAAAUGGGAGAGACAAAUGUUAAUACCAUAACUGGUAGUGCAAAAUUGAUUGAACGCUCCGGAAUAGCCUCUCUAUUUCUUCAUGAAGGGACUAAAAUUGUCGUAAAUAAUGCACUACUGUCUCCCAAGUCUCGGAGAAAUUUAUUGAGUUUUAAAGAUAUCUGCGAAAAUGAAUACUAUAUAGGGAUAAUGACUGAGACAAAUGGAGAAUUUUUAUUAAUCACAAGUAUCAUUUCUGGGCAGAAAUGCGUAGUAGAAAAAUUACCUUCUUUUUCUUCUAGCUUAUAUUAUGCACAAAUUAGUGCAAUUGAAAUUUAUCACCUAGUAGACCAGAAGUCUACUCAUCCCAAUAAUUUUAUGAUUUGGCAUGAUCGUCUCGAAAAUACUGAAUCUAUAAUGAUGAGACGAAUAAUCAAGAAUUUACAUGGUCACUCAUUGAAAAAUUAAAAGAUAUUAAAAGCAAAUGAAUUCUCCUGUGUUGCUUGUUCCCACGGAAAAUUAAUUAUUAGACCAUCACCAGUUAAAGUUGGGACUGAAUUCCCUACAUUUCUAGAACGAAUUCAUAGUGAUAUAUGUGGACUCGUAGAUCCACCAUGUGGACCAUUUCGAUAUUUUAUGGUGCUAAUUGAUGCAUCAACUAGAUGGUCACAUGUAUUUUUAUUAUCUACUCGCAACUUGAUAUUUGCGAGAUUGCUUGCUCAAAUAAUUAAAUUGCGAGCACAAUUUUCAGACUAUCUAAUAAAGAAAAUUCAUUUAGAUAAUGCUGGUAAAUAUUCGUCACAUGCUUUUGACAAUUAUUGCAUAUCUAUUGGAAUAACUAUUGAACAUCUUGUAACUUAUGUUCACACACAAAAUGGUCUAGCCGAAUCAUUUAUUAAAUGGUUACAAUUAAUUGCUAGACCAUUGUUGAUGAGGUCUAAACUUCCUUCAUCUGCUUGGGAAUAUGCUAUAUUAUAUACAGCAAUACUUGUGAGAAUUAGACCGACAAGUUAUCAUACUUAUUUUCCUCUAUAAUUAACUUUUGGUUAUAAGUCAAAUAUUUCUCAUUUACGAAUAUUUGGUUGUUCGGUUUAUGUUCGAAUUGCACGGCCCCAAUGUCGUAAAUUGGGUCCACAAAGAAGAUUGGGGAUAUAUGUCGGAUAUAAAAUCACCUUUAAUUAUUAAGUAUAUGGAACCAUUGACAGGUGAUUUAUUUACUGCAAGAUUUGCAGAUUGUCAUUCUAAUGAAUCACAUUUUUCGACAUUAGGGGGAGAUAAAAAUCAAUCGAAAAAGAAAAUCACUUGAAAAAUAUCAUUCAAUUUUCUCGAUUCUCGUACCAAAGAAUGUAAACUAGAAGUUCAAAGGAUUAUACAUUUGCAAAAAAUUACAAAUCAACUACUGGACGUAUUUAAUGACUCCAGAAGAGUUAUUAAAUCACAUAUUUUUAUUGAAAAUACUCCGAUUAAAAUUAAUGUCCUUGAAGGACAAAUUACAAGUGUUAAUGAGUGUAAAGUGCGCCUGAAGCGUGGGAGACCUCUUGGUUCUAAAGAUAAAAAUUCUCGAAAGAAAAGAGAAAUUGAUGAAUCAACAAUUAGUGACAAAAUUCAACCUCCUGAAGAAGUCGCUCCUAAAGAGCCAAUUCUUGAAGAUAAUGAAAUUAUAGAAAAUUCAAUAAAUUUUGUCGCUUCAGGAAAAAGUUGGAACAAAAAAAAAUUAUUAAUAGUAUUUUUGCAUAUAAUGUAGCACUUGUUAUUAUGGUAGGUAAUGAAGAUCGUGAGCAUAGAUCGGUUGAUGAAUGUCGACGUAGAAAUGAUUGGCCAAAAUGGAAAGAUGCGAUUCAAUCUGAAUUGGACUUACUAGCUACAAGAAAAGUUUUUGGGCCUGUAGUCCAAACACCUGAAGGUGUAAAGUCAGUAGGAUAUAAAUGGGCAUUUGUGAGAAAAAGAAAUGAGAAAAAUGAAAUCGUGAGGUAUAAAGCAAGACUUGCAACCCAAGGAUUUUCACAAAGGCCUGGAUUUGAUUAUGAUUACACGUAUUCACCUGUAGUGGAUGCUAUCACAUUUAGAUAUCUUGUGAGUUUUGCAGGACAUGAAAAAUCAGAUAUGCAUCUAAUGGACGUCGUUACUGUAUAUUUAUAUGAAAAUUUUGAAAAUGAUAUUUAAACGAGAAUCCCUGAAGGAUUCAACAUGCCUGAAGCAUGCAAAUCAAAUUUUAAAGAUAUUUAUACUAUUAAAUUACAAAGGUAUUUGUAUGGGUUCAAACAAUCUGGACGUAUGUGGUACCGCCUCAAUGAAUGUUUAACUAAAGAAGGCUAUACCAAUAAUCUAAUACAUCCAUGUGUCUUUAUCAAGAAAAAUGGACUAAUUUUAUGAUAAUUGUUGUCUAUGUUGAUAAUCUUAAUCUGAUUGGAACUCUUGAAGAGAUUCAAAAUAGUGUUGAAUAUUUGAAGAAGAAGUUUGAAAUCAAAGAUUUUGGAAAAACAAAAUUCUACAUUGAUUUACAAAUUGAGUGAUAGGUUGCAAUUUUAUCAUUUAUUUUAUUAUUAAUUUUCCCUAUUACUUAACCCAAUGUGAAUUAAUUAUUAGAUUCUACUCACUUUUAGUAUUUUACAUAUAUUUCAGGGAGUAGAACGAAAAUACCAUAAUAAGUGCCGAUUUGACAGUUAUCAGGAAAGAGUUCAAGUAGCAGGCAUCCAGGGCAUUUUUGGAACAAGGAGAUACAAGUCCUUUUUGGUAAUUCGCAGAGCGCAGCAUUAAAAGGAGGAACGAAGGGCUGAAGUAGGGAGUCUUCUUCCCCCUGGGAGGAACCGCCGCACAGCAGAGGGCUGUCUGGUCCUCUUAGUUUUUCCGUUUCUUUAGUUUUAGCUUCGGAUUUUGACUUUUCUUCUCGUAGGAAUUUUGGGUAGCCUUGAGCUUAGCAACUUUUGUUGACCCUUUUUUGGCCUUUUAGCUAGUUUGUUCUUACGCAUGGAAGAUGGCUGAAUAGCUGAGGCUUGUUCUUUGUUUUUCUUUGACUUUUCCUUUUGGUUUGCUUCCUGCGGACGCCCAGACCGAAGGAAAACUAUGAAGUCCCUUUUGUAGCUUUCUCUCUUUAUUAAAUAGACGAAUUGAAUUCCCUCAACUUGCGAAUUGAUGGCCGCAGCUUUUGCUUCAAUUUCUUGUGGGUUUAGUUCAUUAAUUAUGAACUAAUUCUACAAUUCUAGUCAAGGGGACAACUGACGAUUUGGUUCGACAAUUACUGUGAGAUCGAAUCUGUUUUAAUUAUUUUCUUCAUUUAUUGGUAUUUAUAUGUUCCUUGAUUUUAAUUGCUAUGGCCUUGUGUAUGAUUGAUUAGUGCGCAAUAAUUAAUUAUUCAUAUAGGCUAUUUUGCUAAAUAGAGGUAAUUGAAUCCGUAAUUGUUCGUUAUCUCUAUCUUAGUAGCAACUGGCGUAAUUGGGUUUAUGUCAGGGGAGCAUAUGAUCUAGCUUAAACAAACCCUCGUAGCGUGUUUGUUGGUUAGGAUUGGGCCUUUCUAAUUAUUAAUGCAAUCUAGAAAUUAAAUCUUACGGUCGUACCUAGGGUUGUUUUUGGGUUAGAGAAAUAGCUAACGGUCGUACCUUAGCUAUCGAUAAAUUAAGGAAGGGUUGGUUGUUUAUCGCGUGCAUGACAACUAUAACCAAUCUAUUAAUAAAUGUUGGGAUUAUUUUUGCAUCAAUGAUCAGUGCAUGAACCAUUUCUGAAGUAUACCCUUGGCUAGAGUUUCUCUUAGUUAUUUCUUUUAAUUAAUUAUUUUCUGCAGUUAAUUUAUUUAGUUAGCAUUUAAUCCAAAACCCCCCAUACUUUGGACUCUAAAAGAAACAAUUACUCCCAGUCCCUGUGGAUUCGACCCUGCUCACCGCUAUCUACAGAAAUCACUUUUAGUUUGAGCAGGUAUUUAUUAUUGCACAGGCUUCGACGACCUGUCAAUCUUUGGCGCCGUUGCCGGGGACUGGUGCCAGAUUAAAUUGUUUCUUUUUGAGUUUAUCUUGUUUUCAUUUUUUUAAUUUAUUUUUCUCUUAUUUUUUAUUAUUAUUAUUAUUUUUUUUAUGGCUGCUAACAUUCCAUAUUUUGAUGAUAGACUGGAUUUUGUUCCUGAAUGGGGUUAUGAGACUCAUGUUUUUCCUAACGAUCAAUGGGCUGUUGCAAAUUGUGGAACUUAUUUUGACUCAAGUUAUUCAACUGACACAUGCCCCGUAUUUCAAGAUAAUUUAAGUUCUCCACUUGAUACUUUUGGAGAUUUUUCACCCCAAUAUCAAACGUGGUAUGACCCUUAUUCAAACGGGUAUGAUCAAGGAUGGUGGGAUAAUUCCAAUUUUGAUUAUGCGACCGGGCCAAUGGAUUUUCAACAGCAAGAGUCUCAGCAAUCAUCCUCCGUGUCAGGUAUGUCUCUUGAAGAAAUGAUAGGUUUACUAAUUGCUAAUUCAAAUCGAUUUCAUCAGGAGACACAAGCGAGCCUAAAUCGAUUUCAUCAGAGGACACAAGCGAGCUGUCGCGACCUGGCGGAUCAACUGCGUCAAUUGACAGCCAGGAUGCAGCGAUUAGAGGCUCACCUUGAAGAAUUGCCCUCGCAAACCAAUAUCAAUCUUGAGGAAGAUGAGAGUGCAAUUGUCCGGGCAAAUGACAUGGAACUGCAAGAGUUUCAAGAAAACGGAUUUAAAGAUGCAGUUGAAAAGGAAGCUGAAGUGCAAGAAAUGAGACUCCAAGAUCAACUCGUUCAAGUGAAUGAAUCCAGUGAACAAUCUCCAAAUGCGGUGACAUCUUCUCCACUCCUUAAUCAAUAUUUUCCUGGCUCCUAUUCUUCAACUCCUGUUACUGAAAUUGAUUUUAUUAUACCAGAAAAUUUAAAAUUUCAUGACAGGAAUAAGUUAAGAGUGGAGAUGGCAAAAUAUCUUGAACCAAUGAAUGCGUGUGAUGGAGGAGUGAGUGGAGAAUGCAGAUCAUUGUUGACUUGUUUAGCGCCAUUUACUAGUCCAUGGAAGCCCGUAACUCGUGUGCCCAAGAAUUACUCCAUCUAUGAGGGUUACCAGGAUCACGUUGAAGAUGAAGCAUUGAAGCGAGCCACAAGAUUUUAUCCUCCAUGAGCAAAACAUGAUAAUGUCUAGCCAAAGACAUUAAAGAAAGGCGCUCAUUGGGAGGCAACCCAAUUUCUUUUAGUUGUUUGUUUGAUUUUAUUUGUUAGUUUAAAUCUGUCUUCCUUGAAUUUGACUGAUUUUGGGUGUUAAUUUUCGUUUUUACUGAUUUGUAGGUGACCUUCAGUCAUGACGCGCCCGCGUGGUGACGUGCAGGAAGCUCACGAUCAGAAACUUCUGGGAGCUCUCUUACCCUCAUGACGUGCCCGCGUCAAGUCACCUGGAGAGUUCCAGAUUCCGUGCCUUCAUGGUGUGCCCACGUCACGUUCACGGGAGAGAUAAGUAUUUAAAAAAAAAAUUCAAAAACGAUUGUUGAUUGUUGGUUAUCUCUGCUUUUGAAUCUCGAAAAUAAAAUUUGCUAAUGAAAAUAAAUUUCAAAAAAAUAAAAAAAAAUUUUUUAAAAAAAAAAAUUUAAAUUUUUGUUUCACGGUAGCUUAGAUUUUCAAAUCCUAAAAAAAAAAAAAAACACAGAAACUCUUUCUUAUCAACGUAGCUUUAGUGUCAAAUAUUUUAAAAAAAAAAAAGUCUCAAAUGAAAAAAAAAAAGGGCUUUUCUUUUUCUUUCUUUUCUUUCUUUCUUCUUCUUUCUCUUUUCUGUCUUCCUUCUCCCCUGUUUCUUCUUCCUCUCUGUUGACCGAAGCCCUCUGUCCGCCGCCGCUGCUGAAGCGCCCUCAGCCGUCGCGCAGCAGCUCCUCACUCGAAGACGCCGCGGCCACAGCACCUCUGCACGCGGCCUCCACCUCUCCAUCGCGCGCCGUCAAGAGCUCCGCCGACCCACGACGCGCGAGGCACCAGCUCGCGCGCCUCCCCCACCUAGCAACUGCUGGCCGACCAGCCCCACCACCAGCCCGCGCCGCACCUGCUGGCCGACCUAUCAACUCCUAAGCUCGCGAACCUCCUCAGCUCAGCUCCACCAGCGAGCUGCUCCUCGCUCACUCCAUCGCGUGAAGACCAGGCGAGCACGGCCCGCAGCCUCUCACCGCCACUGCGCACCUCUGACCAGCUCGCAGCACCUCUCUCUGCCCUCCGUGCGCUGCCCGCGCGUGGCACCAGCGCCUCCACAGCUCGUCGACGAAGCCCAAGCUGACAGACCACGCCGCUCGUCCACUUCCACCACUCGCGACGCACAGAUCAGCGCUGCCGUUGGUUGCCCAACCUCCCUGGUGCCAGGUUUUUCUUACUAAUUUUGUGGUCUACGAUUCCAAUUUCUUGAUGAUGGGAUUUUUGAUGAUUACGAUUUCAUUGAGUAAAUUUGAUUGGCUUGCAUCUGUGUUACUGGAGCCCGUGGGUUGGGUUAUGACCUGCAACUGAUUUGCCUAGUCUAAUAUAAUUGUCAUUUGUUUGGGCUCUUGAAGUACUGUCUAGUGUUGUUUGUAUUUCUUAGUGAAUUGAGUUUGCCGUUUGAUUUCAUUCUUCCCUGUGCGUACACCAGUGGUACUGGUUGUGGUAGUUGCCUAACAUUUAUUCAUUCUCAUUGGUGUGGCUGUUGGGAUUGAAAGCUCAGAACUUGUGACUAAGUUGUUAUUGCCUAAAUGCUGACCUGCUAUUACUAGACUUGCUGAUUUCUUGGGAGCAUUUGUUGGGAUUUUGGGUGGAUAUUAGCAAGUGGUAUAUUGCUUGAUUUUUUUUACCUGUGCCUUGCUUGGAGUUUCUAGUGCAUGUUUGGGGCUGCCUUGGGAGUUAUUUGCCACAAUUGAUUGCCGUUUUGGUUUCUUCUGUUUCUGGUACUGCUUGUGCUGAUGGAUUUAUCAGUGUUUUGGGCGGCUUAUUUGAAUUGCUUCUUCCCUGUGUGUUUGGUCAGCUGUUUGCUUGAAAACCCAAACCCUUGUGCUUAUAUUUGCUCCCAGUUGAGUUAUGUGUUGGACUUUCCAAUUGGUGACAACUUUUGGGCUUUAGGGGUGAGUUCAUUUUGUCAUUAUUUGCUACCUUGUUGGGGUCAUUUUUGGUUUCACCUGAGUCUAUUGUCCUGCCUUCUGUUUUGAGUCCAUUGGAGUGACGUGAGUUGAGUAAUUUCUGCUUUUGUUUGUUGAUUUGGAAGGCUACUGUGCCACUUUCAUUGCUUAUUGCUUAGUGAUUAUGUCUAAUUAACAAUGUGCAUAGCAUGGCGCAGAAUUUGGCAGCAUUCAUGUAGCAUGCCGGUCUUAUACCUCAAUUGGGUACCUCUAUUUGGUUGGCUGCGUUCUUAUUGUCCAAUAUCUAUGCUGUUUUCAAUGGAAUUGCUGAUCUUGGGUUAAGACUUUAGCUGGCCAACUGGAGCCAUUUGUUGAGAUUUUGGGUGAACUGCAAUACUGCACUCGUUUGUUCAAUUGGGAGGUUUCUUUUGGUAUUCUGGUUGAGUUAUUUCUAAAGUUGCCUGAUGAAUUGAGAGACAUAGAUGGCUAUUGCUCUGCCCUGAUAUUGCUUGGUUGCCAGUGCGCAUUCUCUAUGCCAAGUGGCAAGGAUGUCUCAGAACUCGGCUUCCCUCCACUGUUCCCUCCUAUCCCUUAGCUGUUCAGCAGGGAAGUCUCGUUAUCCUCUUCGCUUUAAUUAUUUUAUUACCUCCAUUGAGGACAAUGUAGGAUUUAGGUGUGGGGGGAGCAGUUAUGGUGCUAGUGUCUUUCGUUCAUUUUCUUUUUCUUCUUUUUAGUGAUUGGCUCGUAAGUGCAUGCCAAGGUUUGAUGUUGGAUUAUUGCCUCUAUUUCUACUUUUGCCAAGUUUUAAUAAUAAAAGGGUAUCAAGUUAAUGUGGUUGAAUCCAAAAACAUCUCUUUGGUGAAUAUCAAUAAUUGUUUUACUCUUAUAAUUUUUUGGUUAACUUUCCUAGGCAUAGGGAAUGAUUAUUGGCAUUUUUAGUGAAUUGGUCCGGUUAUUAACCUUAGUUCUCCAUGUUUGAAAAUGAGGCUAGCUGAUGCAAGUUUUCUUUUGGUUCUUGUGUUAUAUUGAGUUUUUGUGAUUUUUAGCUCUGAAUAAACUUGACUGUACUCCGCUAUUAGUUACUACUGAGUAACCGGGGAUCUGCACCUAAAAGUGUUGAUUCUCGCGUCAAAAGAUAGUAGUUCCUAUGAGUACGUGGUCACGUGGCGAUAGAAGCUGAGUAACCGGGCUCCUUCAUCUGGCCAAUGUUGGAAUUCGCGUCAAAAGGCUCUAAUGGCUAGCGACUAAGUCUUUUGUUACUAUUGAAAAAAAACGAGAAAGAAGAAGAAGAAAAAAAAAAGAAAAAAAAGAGAAAAGUAGAAAAAUGUGAAAGAAAAAGUGAAUGCUGUGUUAGUGUAUAAUAAAAGUCAGCUUGCCGAUUUAUGGAUUUAAUGUUGAGAUUUUGGUUAAUAGUUGGACCAUUUGCUGAUAACUGUUAUGCGUCAUUCCUUUUUCUUAGAUUGGUUAACAUGAAAUUAGAGGAAUUUAUGGUUUAGAAGCUAACCGGAGUGAUGUUUCUUGGACUAGACCAUUGAUGCUUGAUUAUUAUAUUUUCUUGGUAUCUUGGCAAUAUGGUAGAUGGAGUAAUAGCCAUUGGCAAGUGUUGGUGUUUAUUUGCUGUUCUCAUGCUUGAGGACAAGCAUGGUUUAGGUGUGGGGGGAAUUGAUAGGUUGCAAUUUUAUCAUUUAUUUUAUUAUUAAUUUUCCCUAUUACUUAACCCAAUGUGAAUUAAUUAUUAGAUUCUACUCACUUUUAGUAUUUUACAUAUAUUUCAGGGAGUAGAACGAAAAUACCAUAAUAAGUGUCCGAUUUGACAGUUAUCAGGAAAGAGUUCAAGUAGCAGGCAUCCAGGGCAUUUUUGGAACAAGGAGAUACAAGUCCUUUUUGGUAAUUCGCAGAGCAGCAGCAUUAAAAGGAGGAACGAAGGGCUGAAGUAGGGUCUUCUUCCGCCUGGGAGGAACCGCCGCACAGCAGAGGGCUGUCUGGUCCUCUUAGUUUUUCCGUUUCUUUAGUUUUAGCUUAGGAUUUUGACUUUUCUUCUCGUAGGAAUUUUGGGUAGCCUUUAGCUUAGCAACUUUUGUUGACCCUUUUUUGGCCUUUUAGCUAGUUUGUUCUUACGCAUGGAAGAUGGCUGAAUAGCUGAGGCUUGUUCUUUGUUUUUCUUUGACUUUUCCUUUUGGUUUGCUUCCUGCGGACGCCCAGACCGAAGGAAAACUAUGAAGUCCCUUUUGUAGCUUUCUCUCUUUAUUAAAUAGACGAAUUGAAUUCCUUCAACUUGCGAAUUGAUGGCCGCAGCUUUUGCUUCAAUUUCUUGUGGGUUUAGUUCAUUAAUUAUGAACUAAUUCUACAAUUCUAGUCAAGGGGACAACUGACGAUUUGGUUCGACAAUUACUGUGAGAUCGAAUCUGUUUUAAUUAUUUUCUUCAUUUAUUGGUAUUUAUAUGUUCCUUGAUUUUAAUUGCUAUGGCCUUGUGUAUGAUUGAUUAGUGCGCAAUAAUUAAUUAUUCAUAUAGGCUAUUUUUUGCUAAAUAGGGGUAAUUGAACCCGUAAUUGUUCGUUAUCUCUACCUCAGUAGCAACUGGCGUAAUUGGGUUUAUGUCAGGGGAGCAUAUGAUCUAGCUUAAACAAACCCUCGUAGCGUGUUUGUUGGUUAGGAUUGGGCCUUUCUAAUUAUUAAUGCAAUCUAGAAAUUAAAUCUUACGGUCGUACCUAGGGUUGUUUUUGGGUUAGAGAAAUAGCUAACGGUCGUACCUUAGCUAUCGAUAAAUUAAGGAAGGGUUGGUUGUUUAUCGCGUGCAGGACAACUAUAACCAAUCUAUUAAUAAAUGUUGGGAUUAUUUUUGCAUCAAUGAUCAGUGCAUGAACCAUUUCUGAAGUAUACCCUUGGCUAGAGUUUCUCUUAGUUAUUUCUUUUAAUUAAUUAUUUUCUGCAGUUAAUUUAUUUAGUUAGCAUUUAAUCCAAAACCCCCCAUACUUUGGACUCUAAAAGAAACAAUUACUCCCAGUCCCUGUGGAUUCGACCCUGCUCACCGCUAUCUACAGAAUUAAUUUUAGUUUGAGCAGGUUUUAUUAUUGUACAGGCUUCGACAACCUGUCAUUGAGCAUUUGAAAAGUGAAAUUUUUGUCCACCAAACUGCUUAUACCCGGAAGGUAUUAAAGUAGUUUUAUAUGGAUAAGGCAUAUACAUUAAGUACCCCAAUGGUCAGAUCAUUAGAUCCUAAUAAGGACCCUUUUAGACCGCGAGAGGAAGUUGAAGAGAUACUUGGUCCUAAAGUACCAUAUCUCAGUGCAAUUAGUGCACUAAUGUAUCUUGCUAAUUGUACAAGACCUGAUAUAUCAUUUGCAAUAAAUUUAUUAGCAAGAUUUAGUUCUCGCUCACAAGACGACAUUGGAAUAGUAUUAAACAUAUUUUUUGUUAUCUCCAAGGAUCAAUUGAUCUUGGCUUAUUUUAUUCAAAUAAAUCUAAACUUGAAUUGUUUGGUUAUGUUGAUGCUGGAUAUUUAUUUGGCCCACAUAAAGUAAGAUCUCAGACUGGUUAUCUAUUUACAUAUGGAGGUACAACCAUUUCUUGGCGAUCUACAAAGCAAUCAUUAGCUGCCAUUUCAUCGAAUCAUGCUGAAAUAAUAGCAAUUCAUGAAAUUAGUUGAGAAUGUGUUUGGUUAAAAUCAAUGACCCACUAUAUCCGGAAAAGUUGUGGGUUAUCCUCCGAAAAAGAAAAUCCUUCAACUAUAUUAUAUAAAGAUAAUGCAGCUUGUAUAACUCAAUUGAAAGGAUGAUAUAUUAAAAGAGAUAGAACGAAAUAUAUUUCACCAAAAUUCUUUUUUACUCAUGAUUUACAAAAGAAUGGUGAAAUUGAUGUGCAACAAAUCUGAUCAGAUAAUAAUUUGACAGAUUUAUUUACCAAUGCAUUGCCAACUGCAAUAUUUAAGAAAUUGGUGAAGAAUAUUGGAAUGCGACGACUAUAAGAUCUCAAAUGAUAUUUGCAUCCGGGGGAACAAUCAAUACACAAGAAUAGUGUACUCUUUUUCCUUCAUUAAGGUUUUUAUCCCGUUGGAUUUUUUCCUAGUAAGGUUUUAAUGAGACACAUUCUUUGUGUAAUGGACAUCCAAUGGGGAGUGUUAUGAAACAACUAAAAAUGUGGAUGCCCAUUUGUAUUCUCAAGAAGAUCAAUUCAUAAUUCAUUGCUUCCAAAAGGAUUAAUUCAUAAUUCAUUGCUACAUUAUAUAAAGGAAUUACAUUGGAUGAACGGUUUCAAUCCAUAAGAGCUAUUCAUGUAUUGGAUGAACCAUUUCAUAUGGUUAUUUAUGUUCUUGUAGUAAUGAGUGUUUAAUAGAAUUGAUGUACCUUUAAUUUUGUAGUACCUAUAUAUAGAGGUACCUUGGCACCUCUUGGAUGUACUUUUUGAUUAGUUGGAAUAAUAAAAAAAUCAUUCUCCAUUUCUGUACUUUUUUUUCUAAUAUUUUAAUUCCUAUUAUAGUAGUUCAUUUUUUUUUUAGUUUUACAACAUUACUCAAAGAAGAGGGUUAUUGGACUAUAUGUUUAUUGACCUCUACUAGGGAUGACAAUGGGGGCGGGUGACGGCAAUGGGGGCGGGUGACCGCGGGCACCCGUCCCGCGGGGGGCUAAUGGGGAGAGGGAUGGGGCCGGGGCGGGGGGUAGGGGAGUGUACCCCCGCCCCAUCCCCCGUCCCGCUACCCGCUUUAAAAAAAUAAAUAUAUAAAAUAUAUAUAGGUAUAUAAUUAUAUAUAUAAUAUAUAAUUUAAUUGGUUACAAACUUAUGAUAAUAAUAUUAUUAGUUAUAUGUAUUAUAUGAUGUCUAUUAGUAUAAAUAAUAUAAUUGAUAUUAUUAAUUAUACUAAUAAUUAUAUAUGUGUACUCAUACAAAUUAUUAAUUGGUUAUACUAAAUUUACUAAUACAUUUAUACUAAAUCCCUAAUUACACUUAAUACAAUAACAUUAUUUUCAUAAAAAAAACACAACCACAAUAAUGAAUUAGUGAUUGUAUUUGUACCAAAAGUGAAAAUUUGAUUACUUUAGUUAUAUUUUUUUCAUCAUGUUGGAUUGUAUUCAAAUAAUUUUUGUUUGAUUGUUUUUAUAAGUUUCAAUUGUAAAAUUGCAAUGAAUAAUAAUUUGAUGAUGUGUUGAUAUUUUAGUACUUGAUUAUUUGCUAAAAUUUAAUCAUAAUAAAAUUAUAUAACAAAUUUUUAUUAGCUCAGCGGGAGCACCCGCCGGAGAAGCGGGGCAGGGUGGGGACGGGGCGAGGGAAGCGGGGGAUGGGGGAGGGGUCCCCCGCCCCAACCCUCUUCCCCAUCUCCCGCCCCGUUGCCAUCCCUAACCUCUACUAACUUAUUUAAGGUCAUUUUAUAUCACUAUCCAAAGAAGAAUUAAGGUCAUUUUAUAUCACUAUCCAAAGAACAAUUCUUGGGCGUUAACAUUUUUCUUACAUGCCAAGACUAUUAAUGAAAGUUGACCCAAAUCUCUCUCUCUCUUUCUCUCAAUUCUUAGGACUGAUGCCAAUUCUUACCAUUUAGAAAGAAAAAUUAGAUUGUUUAUAUAUAUGAUGAGUUCCCUCUAAGUCAUGGUUAAGAAAAAUUCUUAGUUAGACGCAGUUUUAUGAAAUGUGAAUUUCCUUUUCUUUGUCUUUAUUCGUUAGUAUUAUUGGGGUUAUUGUAUUAUGAUUGCAAUGCACAGAUACAUGGAUUUUUGACAUUUUUUUCUCAUUUUUUCUUUUUAAUUGACUCUGACUAUGUCUCAAACUCGAGACAUCAAACCUGGAGAAGACUUUUGUCCAAAAUGCUUGUAAAAAUUCAGAAGAAUAAUGUUGGACCUUAUUAUUUAAUAAUGGUGCAAUUAUGAGAGUCAUUCCUGGUUUAAUUAUCAACAUCAUGUCAUUAUUAUUUUUUUGUUUCAUAGAAAAAUAAAGUAUUCUCCGACUCGACAUUAUCAUAUUAUUUUCAAUUGGCAGCUUUAAGUGAGAAAGGCCGGUGAAAAUUUUGGGCAUUACUAGUUUAUUUAGGCCUCACGCGCUCCGUGAAGGUGCCGACGUCAUCUUCGUUUUAAUGGAAAAAUUUGAGCGCGCUUUGAUCAUAAGGAAUUCACAAUCAUCGGGCCAACAAAGAAAGCACUAAAUGGUUAAAACAAACCAUGCAAAUUUGCUCAGCACUUAAACAAUAGACUCCUAAACCGACCAUUUUACUGUCUUGCCAAAAAAGGGCAUUAAAGUAAAAACAACCCAUGCCUAACACAACUAACAAACUUCAGCACCUUCACUUCACUGCCACGUCAUCAACAACAUCUGUAAAUUUCCAAGGAAGUCCACGCACUAAAGGUGCCAUGGGGGACCUCAGGUUAGUGUUCUUAACAUCAACUCCUGUCUUUAUAUUCUUAGGAAAUAUUGAAAUUAAACAUUAUAACUAAUCCUGAUUUCCUUAUGCUGUAUUUGUACACAAUUUGGCAACUUGAUAAAAAGUUUGUUCCAAUUUAUUCCAAUUUAAUUUGUCAGCUAGUCGAAUCUAAUUUGAAUAGUAUUUAACUUUGAAAUUUGAUAAAAAGUUUGUUCAAACUUGGUUUACUAAAUAAACAAGUUAAGUUUGAACAAAAUUUCAAACUUAUUAAAAUAAUUAAAUACGUUUGAAUACUAGGGUAUUCAAUUUAAUUAGACUCGUUUGCACCCAUAAUUAAAGCAUGCACUUUUUUAUAAAUUUAGGAAUCAACAUUAUCUAUUUGAUAGCUAGCUAAUGGCCCAAAAAGUUAAUUGCCUUAAAUUCUUUUAGCAGCCAUAAAGUAUAGUUGGAGGGAUUCCCUUGAAAUUGAUUAGAUUCUUCUAUGUGACUGUGACGUAUUACUAGUCCUACCCAAAAAAAAAUGGUAUUACUAGUCCUUUUUUCUUUUUGUGGCGUGCCACCGCCGUAGGGGGCGGGGAGGGCAGUCAGUGCGAGAAUUCUAGAUGGGGUAGAAGUAGCCAAAGUUCACCUUAUUCAAAGUAAACAACCGACAAUCUCAGUUGUCGACUUUCCUGUCGAUUGCGUAUAUAUUACUAUCUUUUACCAUGACUUUAGAGGAUACCUAAUUUUGCUUGCUAUUAAAUAAUAAUUCCUGGCACCACAUAAUUCUUUCAAGAACUACCAAAACCUUCUUGAAAUCCCUCUUUUUCCUUUUAGUUCAUUUCCAAGAAACAAAUUGAACCAUCAUGGCCCCUGUCACUUCCAGUUAUGAGGUCACCUCCUCAAUCCCUCCUGCAAGGUUGUUCAAGGCCACCAUCCUUGAAGAGAAGCAUCUUCACAAGAUCUUGCCACAGGGCGUUAAGAGUGUCGAAAUCCUUGAAGGAGAUGGUGGAGUUGGCACAAUUAAGUUGACCACAUUUGUUGAAGGUAAGAUAUCAAUACAAAGUGAUUAUUUUCACACAUUUGAAGUCCUCAAAAUGUUCUUUUUUUUUUUUAACAUUUUAUUUGUGGGGGUAAGUAUGUAUGUAAGCCCUAAUAACCUUUUUUUUUUUGUUGGGUUAAAUAUUUAGGUGGCGAGCUUAAGACUGCCAAACAGAGAGUUGAUGGAAUUGACAAAGAAAAAUUUACAUACAGUUAUACUGUACUUGAAGCUGAUGGAUUUAACGAUGUAAUCGAGAAAAUCUGUUGUGUCAUCAAAUUUGAACCCUCUGCUGAUGGAGGUUCAAUCUGCAAAACCACUAAUACAUACUACCCCAAAGGUGGUGCUCAGAUCAGUGAGGAACACCUCAAGGGAGGAAAAGAGAAGGGUUUGGGAAUGGUUAAGGCUGUUGAGGCUUACCUCCACGCAAAUCCUACUGCCUACAACUAAUUAAAAUGAAUGCUACUGAAGGACUCUUCGACAUAUUUUCUUCAAGAUUGAAGUAUAAACUGAGGGUGUCUGUUUCCUUUUUUGCUUGGUUUGCUUAAGCUGUUUGGUUAAGUUAUUCGCAGCAAGAGAAUAAAAUAAUUCACUUGCUGUUUUUAGAUAUGAAUUCAUGACUGUCAGUAGUCUAUAAAUACACUUAUUGCUCACCGCUCUUUGCACCGCAAAAUCUUUUCAAGAUCCAUCAAACCCUCCUGUUCUUGAUCUUUCUCCAUUUGUGAAAAAACAAAUUAAAGCAUCAUGGCCCCGAUCACUUGUAGUGCUGAGAUGACCUCCCCAAUGCCUCCUGCAAGGUUGUUCGAGGCCGCCAUCCUUGAUGACCACCUUCUUCCCAAGAUCAUGCCACAGGCUAUUAAGAGUGUGGAAAUCCUUGAAGGAGAUGGUGGAGUUUGAACCAUUAAUUUGAGCACAUUUGGUGAAGGUUAGAUGUUAUAUUAAAUGUAGAACCCCAAAUUUAAGGAUCGAAUAAUAAUCAACGCAUGUGGGGUUAUAGAAUUGAAGGGAUAAAACAAAUACUCAAAAUAUACGUGAAAGAAAAGAAAAUAAUAAAUUCAACUUACAAUAUUAUUAAAUUUUCAAACAAUGGAAAAAAUCAUACCACAAUAAAUUCAGCUGGUUCUAAUAAUAAUCAAAGCAUACAAGGUUACAGAAUUAAAAGGAUAAAACAAACGCUCAAAAUAUAUGUGGGAGAGAAGAAAAUAAUCAAUUCAACACACAAUAUUAUUGAAAUCUCAAACAAUGAAAAAAGUCACACCAUAAUAGAAAACCUUGCUUAUUCUUCUAGAUUCUUUCUCUUGAGAGACCAACCUAAAUAAUGUCCUAUUUAUAAUCUACCAAACUUGUUAAGAAAGAAACCACUUGCAUAAGAAAUUACGAAAUAAAUUAGAAAUUCCUAAAUCACACAACUACUAAAAACAUAACUCAAAUAAAACUAAAAAAUAAAUAAAUAUUUCUAGGCUUAGUUUAAUUUGUCAACAUUGCCUCCCUUAAACCAAAUUAUUCAUUGAGAUAGGUUCAACACCAUCUCGAGCAAUAAUUUCUAUGCAAAUCUAUGUUGUAGUACAUUUGACAUGAAACUCUAACUUGUUACCAGUUAUUAAUUUCAUUUUUACACGUAACAAUGGACGCACUAUAUAUUUUGUAAAAAAUUUCUCAGCAAUUUCUUCUUGAUCAAAGUACUCAUUUAUACAAACCCAUUCGUCACCAGAAUCACCAUAUUUACCACCAAUGUAAGUGCCUAAAAUUAAAAAAUCAUAGGUUGCUUUCUCGCUAAAGUUAUCAUCACCAAAUAAUUCAAAAUAACCACUACUACAAUUAUCCAAAAUUUUCAUACUGUCAGUCAACUCUUUUGGAGUAAAAUAUUUUUCAACUCCGAUGACAUCCAUAUCUAUCAAAUCAAACAUUCUCCCAUCACUUUGAAGAGAGUCCGAACCAACAAAUUUUUCAACAACAAUUUCAUGUUCUCUUCUUUUAUCAAAUCAAAAUUUUCUUCUUCUUUUGUCAAAUUACCAUAUUAUUUUUUUCAACAAAUUCAUUACUUCUAAUUUCUCCAAACAAGGUAUGCAAAUCAAAACUAUCAAUUGAUUCAAAAUUUUCGAUAUCACCCAUAUUAUGAACAAAUCUAUCAUUUUUAAAAUCCACAAACCAAUACCAACAACUAGACUUCAGUUUGAAAGCAUAAUUUCUCUCAAUCAUGUGCAAAACAUAGUAAAUAUCCUUCCAAAAUCUCUAAAGUAUUUUAGUAUGACCAAUAAAGGUUCUAUAAAUACUUUCUGCCAUUAUUUUACGCAUCACUUGAAAGAAUAAUUGUGCCUUUUUCUUAAAAACAUGUUUUGACAACUUACUUGCAUCAACCCAACAAAGAAUAUCAUCCAAAUUGCAUUGCUUGACAUAUUUUUCCACUGUUAAAAUCCAAUUAAAAUAUGUAUGUCUAUUUGUGCUUAUAGGAGUCAAUAUGAAAAAUUUUUCACCGUCAAUUAGAUCUUUAUAAUAUUCCAUUAUUUAACAAUUUCUAUACCUGAAUAAAUUUUUUUCCUCCAUCCUGUCAUGUUUUCUUGGCCUCCCUGGUUGACUAACCAAAUUAUUGUUGUAUGUAUACCCAUGCUCGUCAAACCUCAUUCGUGUACACUCGUAAGGAGUGGUUCUGAGCUUAUUGUGAAUGCUUAGUACCAAGAAGUAGAAGAGAGAAUGCAUAAGAGAGAAUUAACUUGGCUAAAGAAUUAGGAAACAAUUGAGGGAUUUUUUAAGAAAUUAAUUCUCCAACCGCCACUUUUGGAUCUUUUCUAUCUACAACUAGUUACCAAAACACUAGCACAUAGUAAGAAAUCGGGAUAAUUUCAGAAACCUCCCUUGAGGCUUUUAAUAAUCUCAAGAAGCUCCCCUCAAUAUUUUAAAAUUACACGUACCUUCCCUAUUGGAGCAAAAGUACUCUACUACCCCUAAUAGGAUACUCAAAAGACUUUUUUUAUGGGAAAAAAGAACCUCAGAAAUCCAAGCGAAAGCAAAAAAAUCAAUUUAUUUUCUCUUUUAGCCUUUAACGCUUUUGCCUUCUACCUUUGCUCACUUUCCCAUGCCAAUCUUCCUAUAACCACUUUCCCAAUCCCCUUUCCCCAACUUUUCUCCUCUACUUCAAGACUAAUUUUUGUCCAUCAAUCCUGGCUUGUGCUUUGUUCCAUUCCCUUCCCUUCUCCUUCUUUGAUUUCCCCUACAUCGCCCUUUCUCUUUGCAAAAGUGACUAGGCUCAUCUCUCUCUUUUUUCCCCUUAUUCUAAGUGUAGUGGGUUUGAUUAUUUUGCAUCUAUUUUAUUUGGUUUUGGUUGAUUAUGGGUGAUAAAACUUGGUGAUGUCAAAUAUCAAAAGUUUGAUAGAUGGAUAUUGGGCUUUAGACAAUGAUUUGCUAGAAAAAAAUGGCUGCAAUGAGAGGAAAAGGCAAGGGGAUUUGAAUGUGGGGUUGAUUGUUGAUGAAUUGUUGUUUUGGACAAAAUUUGAGGUUGAGUUUUGUCAAAUUUGGUAGCAAGUGGCGAGAUUUGUUCAGGUUUCGGGAAAUAAAUUGGAUUGUGGUUUCUUGGGCACCCACAGUUGUUGGAAUUGGUUUUGAUUCAAAUAAAGGUGGUUACUUGAUUUUCCUAAUAGUGUUGCUUAAGAGCACACGAUCAUCAAAAUUCCUUAUUUUUAUCUUUUUUUUUUUGUAGAAAAGAUUUCAUGACUUUCGUGAUAGUCUAAUUUGGAAGAAGGCAAUCAAGGGAUGCAAUCAACAUUUAGCAAAAGCUCUUGUUCUUUUCUUUCUAUUUUUUAGGGUAAAAAGGGUAGUUUAGGGUAUUUGAAGGAAAUGAUAGUCUAUUGGGUCUAUUUUGAAGCAUAAAUAGUGAACGUAAGGGAGGUUGGUGUAAUUUCUGAAACCUAAGGGGAAUUGUCUAAAUUGUCCGAGACCUCAGAGAAGGUUUUCGAAAUUAUCCCUAAGAAAUCAAAUGCGAAACUUGAUUAGUACACACACACACGACACUGCACCACGGCACGCGUGUGUUGAGAACUGAUGUCCGUAACCAACGACAAGCAGGUUUUCAAUUUUUUUUUCCUUUCCUGGAUUCUCCAGAGAUGGUGUCAGCUUCUAUUAUUGAUGAGCAGGAGGAAAUCCACAAUAUACAGUACACAUCACCCAUAUUCUUUUUAAUUGAACAAUGUAUGAAAUUAUGGUGAUUCGAAAUUAAAUUAUAUGUUUAUUGGGCAACGAAUCCAAAAUAAGAAUUGGAAAUGUAUUGUGGCAACAAUUGUUAACUUAGGCUACAAAUGAUCAAAAUAAAUAUUUAAGAUUUAAUAUGACAUUAUGGGUUCAAAAUAUAGUUACUUGUUAUGAAACAACUAAAAGUGUGGAUGUCCAUUUGUAUUCUCAAGAGGAUCAAUUCAUAAUUCAUUGCUCCCAAGAGGAUUAAUUCAUAAUUCAUUGCUACAUUAUGUGAAGGAAUUACAUUAGAUGAACGGUUUCAAUCCAUAAGAGCUAUUCAUGUAUUGGAUGAACCGUUUCACAUGGCUAUUCAUGUUCUUGUAGUAAUAAGUAUUUAAUAGAAUUGAUGUAUGUUUAAUUUUGUAGUACCUAUAUAUAGAGGUACCUUGGCACCUCUUGGCUGUCCUUUUUGAUUAAUUUGAAUAAUAAGAAAAUCAUUCUCUAUUUCUAUACUUCUUUCUCUAAUAUUUCAAUUCUUAUUAUAGUAGUUCAUUAUUUUUUUAGUUUUACAACACGUUAUCAGCACGAGUCUCUAUUUUUGAAUAAAAAACUGAAAAUGGAGCCUAUACCUUAAAAAAAGCAAAAAAUGUGAUUCUGCUGAAAUUCUGCAUGUAUUUUUCCGGCAACUUCUAUCUACUUAUUGAGAAAUGGAUGCCAAAUAUUUGGGAUUAAAUAAUGGUGAUGAUGACAUUUGUCUCAUUGAUUGUACUACUACGCACACUAUAUUGAAAAAAAAAAUUCUUGUAUGAAAAUGGGAGAGACAAAUGUUAAUACCAUAAGUGGUAGUGCAAAAUUGAUUGAAAGUUCUGGAAGAGCCACUCUAUUUCUUCCUGAAAGGACUAAAAUUGUCGUAAAUAAUGCACUACUAUCUCUCAAGUCUUGAAGAAAUUUAUUCAGUUUUAAAGAUAUCUGCGAAAAAUGGAUAUCAUAUCGGGACAAUAAAUGAGACAAAUGGAGAAUUUUUAUUAAUCACAAAUAUCAUUUCUGAGCAGAAAUACGUAGUAGAAAAAUUACCUUCUUUUUCUUCUGGCUUAUAUUAUGCACAAAUUAGUGCAAUUGAAAUUUAUCACCUAGGAGACCAGAAUUCUACUCAUCCCAAUAAUUUUAUGAUUUGGUAUGAUUGUCUCGAAAAUCCUAGAUAUAUAAUGAUGAGGCAAAUAAUUGAGAAUUCACAUGGUCACUCAUUGAAAAAUCAAAAGAUAUUAAAAGCAAAUAAAUUCUCUUGUGUUGCUUGUUCCCACGGAAAAUUAAUUAUUAGACCAUCACCAGUAAAAGUUGGGACUGAAUCCUCUACAUUUCUAGAACGAAUUCAUGAUGAUAUAUGUGGACUUGUAGAUCCACCAUGUGGACCAUUUCGAUAUUUUAUGGUGCUAAUUAAUGCAUUAACUAGAUGAUCACAUGUAUGUUUAUUAUCUACUCGCAACUUGGCGUUUGCGAGAUUGUUUGCUCAAAUAAUUAAAUUGCGAGCACAAUUUUCAAACUAUCCAAUAAAGAAAAUUCAUCUAGAUAAUGCUGGUGAAUAUUCGUCACAUGCUUUUGACGAUUAUUGCAUGUCCAUUGGAAUAACUGUUGAACAUCCUGUAACUUAUGUUCACAUUCAAAAUGGUUUAGCCGAAUCAUUUAUUAAAUGGCUAUAAUUAAUUACUAGACCAUUGUUGAUGAGAUCUAAACUUCCUUCAUUUGCUUGGGAACAUGCUAUAUUACAUGUAGCAAUACUUGUGAGAAUUAGAUCGACAAGUUAUCAUACUUAUUUUCCCCUAUAAUUAACUUUUGUUUUUGAGUCCAAUAUUUCUCAUUUACGAAUAUUUGGUUGUUCGAUUUAUGUUCUAAUUAUACCGUCCCAACAUCGUAAAUUAGACCCGCAAAGAAGAUUGGGGAUAUAUGUUGAGUAUGAAUCACCUUUAAUUAUUAAGUAUAUGGAACCAUUGACAGGUGAUUUAUUUACUGCGAGAUUUGCAGAUUGUCAUUUUGAUGAAUCACAUUUUUCGACAUUAGGGGGAGAUAAAAAUCAACCGAAAAAGAAAAUCACUUGAAAAAUAUCUUUGAAUUUCCUCGAUUCUCAUACCAAAGAAUGUGAACUAGAAGUUCAAAAGAUUAUACAUUUGCAAAAAAUUACAAAUCAAUUACCGGACGCAUUUAAUGACUCCAGAAAAGUUACUAAAUCACAUAUUCCUAUUGCAAAUGCUCCGAUUAAAUUAAUGUCUUUGAAGGACAAAUUACAAAUGUUAACGAGUCUAAAGCGUACCUAAAGCGUGGAAGACCUCUUGGUUCCAAAGAUAAAAAUUCUCGAAAGAAAAGAGGAGUAGAUGAAUCAACAAUUAGUGACAAAAUUCAACUUCCUGAAGAGGUCGCUCCUAAAGAGCCAAUUCUUGAAGAGAAUGAAAUUAUAGAAAAUUCAUUAAAUUUUGUCAUUUCAGGAAAAAGUUAGAAUCGAAAAGAAAUAAUUAUUGAUAGUAUUUUUGCAUAUAAUAUACCACUUGAUAUUAUGGUAGAGAAUAAGGAUCACGAGCCUAGAUAGGUUGAUGAAUGUCGACGUAGAAAUAAUUGGGCAAAAUGGAAAGAUGUGAUCCAAUCUGAAUUGAACUCACUGGUUAAAAGAAAAGUUUUUGGACCUGUAGUCCAAACACCUGAAGGUGUAAAGCCAGUAGGAUAUAAAUGGAUAUUUGUGAAAAAAAAAAUGAGAAAAAUGAAAUCGUGAGGUAUAAAGCAAGACUUCUAGCCCAAGAAUUUUCACAAAGGCUUGGAUUUGAUUAUGAUUACACGUAUUCACCUGUAGUGGAUGCUAUCACAUUUAGAUAUCUUGUGAGUUUUGCAGUACAUGAAAAAUCAGAUAUGCAUCUAAUGGACGUCGUUACUGCAUAUUUAUAUGAAAAUCUUGAUAAUGAUAUUUAUAUGAGAAUCCCCGAAGGAUUCAACAUGCCUGAAGCAUACAAAUCAAAUCCUAAAGAUAUUUAUUCUAUUAAAUUACAAAGAUUUUUGUAUGGGCUUAAACAAUCUGGACGUAUGUGGUACUGCCUCAAUGAAUGUUUAACUAAAGAAGGCCAUACCAAUGAUCCAAUAUAUCCAUGUGUCUUUAUCAAGAAAAAUGGAUCAAAUUUUGUGAUAAUUGUUAUAUAUGUUGAUGAUUUAAAUCUGAUUGAAACUCUUGAAGAGAUUAGUGUUGAAUAUUUGAAGAAGAAAUUUGAGAUCAAAGAUUUUGGAAAAACAAAAUUCUGCCUUAGUUUACAAAUUAAGCAUUUGAAAAGUGAAAUUUUUGUCCACUAAACUGCUUAUACCCCGGAAGGUAUUAUAGCAGUUUUAUAUGGAUAAGGCACAUACAUUAAGUACCCCAAUGGUCAGAUCAUUAGAUCCUAAUAAGGAUCCUUUUAGACUGCGAGAGGAAGAUGAAGAGAUACUUGGUCCUAAAGUACCAUAUCCCAAUACAAUUGGUGCACUAAUAUAUCUUACUAAUUGUAGAAGACCUGAUAUAUCAUUUGCAAUAAAUUUAUUAGCAAGAUUUAGUUCCUCGCCCACAAGACGACAUUAGAAUGGUAUUAAACAUAUUUUUCGUUAUCUCCAAGGAACAAUUGAUCUUGGUUUAUUUUAUUCAAAUAAAUCUAAGCUUGAAUUGCAUGAUUAUGCUAAUGCUGGAUAUUUAUCUGACCGGUAUAAAGCAAGAUCUCAGACUGGUUAUCUAUUUAUACAUGGAGGUACAGCCAUUUCUUUGCGAUCUACAAAGCAAUCGUUAGCCGCCACUUCAUCGAAUCAUGCUGAAAUAAUAGCAAUUCAUGAGGCUAGUCGAGAAUGUGUUUGGUUAAGAUCAAUGACCCACUAUAUCCGUAAGAGUUGUGGGUUAUCCUCCGAAAAAGAAAAUCCUCCAACUAUAUUAUAUGAAGAUAAUGUAGCUUAUAUAACUUAAUUGAAAGGAGAAUAUAUUAAAGGAGAUAGAACAAAACAUAUUUCACAAAAAUUCUUUUGUACUCAUGAUUUACAAAAGAAUGGUGAAAUUUAUGUGCAACAAAUCCGAUCAGAUAAUAAUUUGACAGAUUUAUUUACCAAUGCAUUGCCAACUGUAAUAUUUGAGAAAUUGAUGAAGAAUAUUGGAAUGCGACAAUUAUAAGAUCUCAAAUGAUAUUUGCAUCAGGGGAAGAAAUCAAUACACAAAAAUAGUGUACUAUUUUUCCAUCACUAGGGUUUUCGUCCCAUUGGAUUUUUUCCUAAUAAGGUUUUAAUGAGGCAUAUUCUUUAUGUAAUGGACAUCCAAUGGGGAGUGUUAUGAAACAACUAAAAGUGUGGAUGCCCAUUUGUAUUCUCAAGAAGAUCAAUUCAUAAUUCAUUGCUCCCAAGACGAUUAAUUCAUAAUUCAUUGCUACAUUAUGUAAAGGAAUUACAUUGGAUGAACGGUUUCAAUCCAUAAGAGUUAUUCAUGUAUUGGAUGAACCAUUUCAUAUGGCUAUUUAUGUUCUUGUAGUAAUGAGUGUUUAAUAGAAUUGAUGUACGUUUAAUUUUGUAGUACCUAUAUAUAGAGGUAUCUUGGCACCUCUUUAGUGUACUUUUUGAUUAGUUGGAAUAAUAAAAAAAUCAUUCUCCAUUUCUGUACUACUUUCUCUAAUAUUUCAAUUCCAAUUAUAGCAGUUCAUUUUUUUUUUUGGGUUUACAACAUUACUCAAAGAAGAGAGUUAUUGGACUAUAUGUUUAUUGACCUCUACUAACUUAUUUAAGGUCAUUUCAUAUCACUAUCCAAAGAAAAAUUCUUGGGCGUUAACAUUUUUCUUACAUGCCAAGACUAUUAAUGAAAGUUGACCCAAAUCUCUCUCUCUCUUUCUCUCAAUUCUUAGGACUGAUGCCAAUUCUUACCAUUUAGAAAGAAAAAUUAGAUUGUUUAUAUAUAUGAUGAGUUCCCUCUAAGUCAUGGUUAAGAAAAAUUCUUAGUUUUAUGAAAUGUGAAUUUCCUUUUCGUUGUCUUUAUUCAUUAGUAUUAUUGGGGUUAUUGUAUUAUGAUUGCAAUGCACAGAUACAUGGAUUUUUGACAUUUUUUUUCUCAUUUUUUCUUUUUAAUCGACUCUGACUAUGUCUCAAACUCGAGACAUCAAACCUGGACACGACUUUUGUCCAAAAUGCUUGUAAAAAAUCAGAAGAAUAAUUUUGGACCUUAUUAUUUAAUAAUGGUACGAUUAUGAGAGUCAUUCCAGGUUAAUUAUCAAACUUGUAACUUGAAAAUAAUGUCGACAUCAUGUCAUUAUUAUUUUCUAGUUUCAUAGAAAAAUGAAGUAUUCUCCAACUCGACAUUAUCAUAUUAUUCUCAAUUGGCAGCUCAUGUGAGAAAGACAAGAAAUUCACAAUCAACUGGCCAAGAGAGUGCCAACAAAGAAAGCACUAAAUGGCUUAAACAAAGCAUGCAAAUUUGCUUAGCACUUAAACAAUAGACACCUAAAUCAACCAUGUCACUGUCUUGCCAAAAAAGGGCAUUAAAGUAAAAACAACUCAUGCCUAACACAGGUAACAAACUUCAGCACCUUCACUUCACCGCCACGUCAUCAACAACAUUUGCAAAUUUCCAAGGAAGUCCACGCACUAAAGGUGCCCAUGCCCUUAGGGGACCUCAGGUUAGUGUUCUUAACAUCAACUCCUGUCUUUAUAUUCUUAGGAAAUAUUGAAAUUAAACAUUAUCACUAAUCCUGAUUUCCUUAUGCUAUAUUUGUACACAAUUUGGCAACAAGGUUGUCCUUUUUUGGGCCAAAUUGGACAAGUAAAAAAAAGAAAAUUAAAAGGUUUAUCUGCAAACUGUAGUUCGGCCUGCCUCUUUUUUUUUUUUUUUUGGGGAUAAGAUCGUCAUGUAUCAAUAUUUCUGUACUUAGCAUUGGCUUCUUCUCGCCUGAAGAACACACGAACCACCGGAUGAAAGUGGUGAAUGAAAGUGCACUUAACCCUUUUAAUUUUUCAAAACAAUGCUUUUAGAAAAAAUAAUAAAGACUUUUUUGAAUUUAAUUUUAGAGAAGAAGAAUUUUAAACUUUUUUGAAUUUAAUCUUACAGAAGAAGAAGUUUAAAAUGUACUUUAAUUUUCACAACUGAUGAUGAGAAUAGCAAAAUGUAUACGGACGGUGACAAAAGUGCCGUCUUAUCCUUUUGCUGACGGCCCGUUUUCCAAUGAGAGGAUGCCUCUGCUUCGUAUUUUAUCCAUAUUGAUAUAUAUUCUUUUCUGUCCCCCUAACUAUUAAAUGUGAAAGGUUGCCCACCAAAUUUGACGAAACCGUUUAUCCUAAUUGAUUAUUAUCCAUAGGGCAUAACUUUAAUAUUCUUCUUCCAACCCGUCCGUCAAUGACCACUAACCACCUCUAAUCUAUUCUCAAAUUUUAAUGAAAUUGCGCAAUUAGUUUUCAUUUCUCACUUUUAUUUCAAAUUUGGUCUCAAUUUAAUGUGAAUCCCAAUAAAUAAGACCGGAGUUGAAAUCAAAGAACGUAUUUCAAUCACCAUCGGAUAAAUUCUUCAUGUCUAGUUUUGUCCUUGAGAUGCAUAGAAAAUGUAAGCUGAUCUUGCAGUCUACGAGAAAAACGAAGUCUAAGAGAAUAAUUUUGUCAAAACUUGACAAUGGAAUGAACCGGUGGUCGCUGGUUGGCAGCUGCUAGAAGUCAUAGCAGUUUUAAAACAUAAUUGCAGCAAGUAAAAGAUUAAAACUACGUUGUGUACUGUUAACGACUUACAUUGACAAAAUGGUUAAGGACAGAGUUGAAAGAUGAAUCAAACUGUUCGACAUUCGAUUCGAAUUUGACUUGGUAAAAACUUAUUCCAAUUUGAUUUGUCAGCUAGUCAAAUCUAAUUUAAAUAGUAUUUAACUUUGAAACUUGAUAAAAAGUUUGUUCAAACUCAGUUUACUAAAUAAACAAGUCAAAUUUGAACAAAAUUUCAAACUCAUUAAAAUAAUUAAAUACGUUUGAAUACUAGGAUAUUCGAUUUAAUUAAAUGCGAUUGCACCCCUAAUUAAAGCAUGUACUUUUUUUAUAAAUUUAGGAAUCAACAUUAUACAUUUAAUAGCUAGCUAGAGGGUCAAAAAGUUAAUUGCCUUAAAAUUCUUUUAGCAGCCAUAAAGUAUAGUUGGAGGGAUUCCCUUGAAAUUGAUUAGAUUCUUCUAUGUGACUAAAGAAUUUCGGGUGUGACGUAUUACUAGUCCUACCCUAAAAAAAAUGGUAUUACUAGUCCUUUUUUUCUUUUUUAGCGUGCCCCCGCCGUGGAGUGUGGGGAGGGUGGUCUGUGCGAGAAUUCUAGAUGGGGUACAAGGUGCCAAAGUUCACCUUAUUCAAAGUAAACAACCUUCCAUCUCAGAUGUUGAAUUUCCUGGCAAUUGCGUAUAUAUUACAAUCUUUUACCAUGACUUUAGAGGACAGCUAAAUUUGCUUGCUAUUAAAUAAUAUUUUCGGUAGUCUAUAAAUACUCUUGGUCCUAACUGCUUCUUGCACCACAUAAUUCUUUCAAGAACUACCAAAACCUUCUUGAAAUCCCUCUUUUUCCUUUUAGUUCAUUUCCAAGAAACAAAUUGAACCAUCAUGGCCCCUGUCACUUCCAGUUAUGAGGUCACCUGCUCAAUCCCUCCUGCAAGGUUGUUCAAGGCCACCAUCCUUGAAGAGAAGCAUCUUCACAAGAUCUUGCCACAGGGCGUUAAGAGUGUCGAAAUCCUUGAAGGAGAUGGUGGAGUUGGCACAAUUAAGUUGACCACAUUUGUUGAAGGUAAGAUAUCAAUACAAAGUGAUUAUGUUCACAAAUUUGAAGUCUUCAAAUUGCUCACUUUUUUUUUCUUUUAUUUGGGAAAAGCUAAUGACUUUUUUUUUUUUUUUUGGUUGGGUUAAAUAUUUAGGUGGCGAGCUUAAGACUGCCAAACAGAAAGUUGAUGGAAUUGACAAAGAAAAAUUUACAUACAGUUAUACUGUACUUGAAGCUGAUGGAUUUAACGAUGUAAUCGAGAAAAUCUGUUGUGUCAUCAAAUUUGAACCCUCUGCUGAUGGAGGUUCAAUCUGCAAAACCACUAAUACAUACUACCCCAAAGGUGGUGCUCAGAUCAGUGAGGAACACGUCAAGGGAGGAAAAGAGAAGGGUUUGGGAAUGGUUAAGGCUGUUGAGGCUUACCUCCACGCAAAUCCUACUGCCUACAACUAAUUAUAAUGAAUGCUACUGAAGGACUCUUCGACAUAUUUUCUUCAAGAUUGAAGUAUAAACUGAGGGUGUCUGUUUCCUUUUUUGCUUGGUUUGCUUUAAGCUGUUUGGUUGAGUUAUUUGCAGCUAUGAUCAUAAUAUUUGAUCGAAGUGUGCUUUUCUUGCAAC
This 87109-nucleotide long non-coding RNA is filed under the name Coffea arabica (coffee). RNAcentral's name for it is "long non-coding RNA (CARA_LNC002175)". Lineage: Eukaryota; Viridiplantae; Streptophyta; Magnoliopsida; Gentianales; Rubiaceae. The record is from RNAcentral.